CAAACACAAGUUUUUACUCAUAUUCCAGCAUCUACUAUUUCGACGACUUCGUCAUACUUUUUCCUUUUUAUUACGAGUUCUUAGGAAUUCGUCGACUUAAGCUCGGCGUGUUCUCAAGUUCCGCGUGAAUACCUCUUGGCCGUGGCAUCUGGGCGCAUCGCUGUUGUCGGGACCAAAGUAUUCGAGUUAUCACCUUUGCCGAUAGUAAGGUCAAAUCGGCUGGCACGCCUUAACGUUGAAAUCGGGUAUUAGCCCUUUGUGUUUGCAGAUCAGCUUUUACAUCAACAAGUACAUAUGUAUGUAGCUGUCACGCACGCAUUCUUGCUUGUUCUAUUUUUCACGCGGAUCGGAGGCUUUAAUUUGCUUGUAGCUAUCCCGCUUGCAACUCAGCGCGACAAGGAAUAACUACUUUUGCCAGCAAAGAGUGCAAUUAAGGGCCUGUUUAGAUUGGAGAUGAAAAAUUUUUGAGUGUCAUAUCGGAUAUGUCGGAAGGAUGUCGGGAGAGCUUUUUAGAAACUAAUAAAAAGACAAAUUACAUAGCUCCUCAGAAAACUGCAAGACAAAUCUAUUAAGCAUAAUUAAUCUAUCAUUAGCAAAUGUGGGUUACUGUAGCACUUAAGGCUAAUCAUGGACUAACUAGGCUUAAAAGAUUUGUCUCGUGAUUUUUAACCAAACUGUGUAAUUAGUUUAUUUUUUUAUCUACAGUUAAUGUUCCAUGCACGUGUCUAAAGAUUCGAUGGGAUGGAUGAAAAAUUUUUAGGUGGGGAACUAAACAGGGCCUAAGGCCGUGUUUAGUUUUCCAUCCAAAAACUUUUCAUCCGUCAUAUCGAAUCUUUGGACACAUAACAUUAAAUGUAUACGAAAACAAAAACUAAUUACACAGUUUGGUUAUAAAUCGUGAGACGAAUAGUGGUUUUAACAUGAGUGGCAUAUUGUUUUCAAGAGAAAUGAAAUGCGUGGCCCAAUUUAGGCCAUGUCUAAAUGUUAUCGGAUUCAUUCCAAUCCAAAUAUGUUGAGUUGGAUCGAGGUGAAAUUUAAUUUAAGUUCCACCCUGGUCCACCUUAACACAUGUAAAUUGAUGUGAAUUUAUCUACAUCUAAAUAAAGGCUUAGAAUUCUUUUCUAGCCCGUAGGAAUGCUUUAUAAUUAGUUGCUGAUUGUAAUCGAUCUUUCAAAUUUAAGACGAUCUUAAGUGAAAAUUUUCAAUUUUAAAACAUAAUGACUUAAAAUGAAUACACGAGCAUGGAUGCUAGACCAGGCCUAGGUUUAAUCCCUAUGAGGUGAAUUACAGUUGAAUUACAGUGUCGGAGGUUAAAAUAACUCCCUUAUCUGCCCUUGUUAUCUAAAGGACAGGUUUGUGGCCCCGGUCCACUCACAGAGUAAUUGGCCAUAUAGGCCGAUGGGGUACGAGGUUCUAGGGCGUGAGAUGCAUCUACCUUAAUGCGAAUGCUUGGCGGCCCUGCCUCCUUUUACAUAAAAAGCUUCUUAAUUAUGGAGUUACAAGUCAUGAUAAAAUCUACAGUUUUGAUAUAAAAUUUAUCGCAGCCUUAAAAGGCGGUGUGCCUGGCCCUCCGAGCGGCCGAGCCAAUCACGCAAACGUAAAAGGCAGAUACCUGGCAGCCAGAGUCAGAUGAUUCUUCCGCAGCCAUAAAAGAUGGGGAAAUAGAUUCAGCAGCCGCAAAGGCACUCUCGUAAUGAUUUUUGUCUGCUGUUGUGCACGUAAGUAAGACCAUAAAAGGCAGUCAAGGAAUGAUUUUUGUCUGCCGUUGUGCUUGUAAGACCGUAAUUCCAACGGUGAUGGCGGUAAAACGUGAUUGCUAAUCAUGUUGGGACUGCAUGUACAGAUAAUCUAGUAAUUGUGGUUGUUUUGAAUCUACGUGCUUGUUCAUUUUCUUAUUUACUUUCUGAAUUUUUCUAGUGAUCUAUAUGUUAUCUAAUUUUUUUAAUUGAAUUACUCUUGAUGUUUUUUUAGAAUUACGCACUACAACGCAGAACACACUUACACUCACUCCUAUAAACACACAUACGCAAAACCCUACAUCUAUGAGCACCUUCAAAGAACUAAGCCAACAGAUCACGAGAUUUAUGAAGUCACCAUAGGUGUCCCACUGUCGAUGGAGAUGUCGCCUACCACUGAAAGCAUAGUACCGUUAAAUUCUAUAAUAAAUCCAUAAAAACGCAAGCAGCCUCGUGUCAAGGACUUAUACAAGGAACCCAGCCUCCAGUUUCUAUGCCAUAAUACAAAGAGUAAUACGCUUUGAUAGUAUUAAUAGGAAGAUGAGUAAUAGUAGGAGCAACGGUGAUAGAAGUAUAUGAUGAUUUUGUCCUUAUUGAUUAUGCAUUUUUCUAACUAGAAUAAAAAUAUACUCUCAGAGUUUCAUUUUAUCUAGUGCAAGUUAUAAUAACACGGUCUCGUAGAUUAUGUCUUGACCAUUUAUUUACUUUAUAUUAUACUACUUAUGUUUAUAAACUUAUAAUUAUUAGAUAGUAUAAUUUCUUACAAAUCUAAUCAUAUAAUGUUUGUAUUAUAAUAGUUAAAAAUUAUUAGCUUAAUUACUAGUUAAAGUUUUAAAUGUUUAAAUUUUGAUAUGCGUAUGCGUCCGCUAGAAUAGAACGGAGGUAGUAUUUCUGUGAACGACGCUCAAUAGUAAUUAUUUGACUUUUGCAAACCGUAUUAUUUGACUGAAAUCAGCUAAGCACGUAUUCGAGAAGUAAUUUCAAAAACCGGUUAUACAUAUCACCUAAUACAUACAUACACAUGGUAACGCACACUGGUUCUGAUCGCAGAGAAUAAAAAAAACUCAACAAAUUAGUACCUAUGUAUACACGACGACGCAUCUAGCAUGCGACCGAAAAGUCCUCUCUAAUGGCAGCAUCUUCAACGGGGAUCGUCAUCUCAUUGGGAUACUCAUCGCGGCUGGGUCGUCGAGCCGUCCUAGUCGGCCACCACGACAAAGAGCAAUAGUAGGAGCAGCAGCGAUGGAAGUAUCUGAUGAUUUUGUCCUUGUUGAUUAUGCAAUUUUCUAGCUAAAAUAGAAAUAUAAUUAUGUAAACAACGCUCAUUAGUAAUUGUUUGACUAUUGCAAACCGUAAUGACUGACUGAAAUCACCUAAGCACGUACUCAAUCCAUCCUAAAUUGUAAGUCGUUUGACUUUUUUAAUAUCAAGUUUGACCACUCGUCUUAUUCAAAGUUUUGUACAAAAUAUCACUUUUUUGUUGUGUAUUGGUUUAUUAAUAAAAGUUCUUCAAGAAUGAUUUAAAUUUGACUAUAUUUGUACAAUUUUUUUAAAUAAGACGAGUGGUCAAAUUUGGAGUAAAAAAAGUCAAACGACUUACAAUUUGGGAUGAAGGGAGUAUUCAAGUAGUAAAUUCAAAAACCGGCUAAGCACAUAUCAAAUAAAUACAUACACAUGGUAACACACCGGUUCUGAUCGCUGGGAAUAAGAAAACUCAACAGAUUAGCAACUAUGCACGGAUCCAGCAUCAUUGUACAUGCAUGUAUUAUCAUCUAAUACAUACACAUUGUAAUAAGGAUGGAGACGGUGCUCCAAAUGAAUACUUACGGUUCUUCUCUAAGAUAACUAAAUGAACUAAAUAAAAAAAUGAGGAAAUAAAAUUAUUUCCUCAUUUUUUUUAUUUAGUUCAUUUAGUUAUACUAGAAAAGAACCGCAGAUAUACGUUUGAAGAGCCAUCUUUAUACUGUAGCACAUACGGGUCCUGAUCGCUGAGAAUAGAAAAAAGAACUCAACAAAUUAGCAACUUUGCCUCCACGGCGGAUCUAGCAUGCGGCCGAAAAGUUCUUUUGUGAUGGCAGCUUCCUCAGGAUCCAUAGUCAGCUCAACGGGAAUCCUCACCUUGGCUGGGUCACCGCGCGGUCCUAGUCAGCCACCAGCAUUUCUAUGUCAUAAUAGAAAGAGUAAUACUCUUUGAUAGUAGUAUUAACAGGAAAUUGAGCAAAAGUAGAAGCAGCAACUAUGGAAGUGAGAUGAUUUUGUCCUUAUUGAUUAUGCAUUUUUCUAUUUAAAAUAAAAAAUAUAAUUGUGUAAAUGAUGCUCAUUAGUAAUUAUUUGACUUUUGCAAACCGUAAUGAAUGGAAUGAAAUCACCUAAGAACGUAUUCAAGUAGUGAAUUCAAAAACCGGCUAAGCACAUAUCACCUAAUACUAUACACAAGGUAAGUUGGCAACACACUGGUUCUGAUCGCUGGGAAUAAAAAAAUUCAACAAAUUAGCAACUAUGCAUCCACGACGGACCCUGACCCAGCAUGCGGCCAGAAAGUCCUCUCUAAUAGCAGCUUCGUCAACGGGGAUCCAUUCCACAGUCACGUUAAUGAGAGGAUCAUCCUAAUCUCGCCUGGGUCGCCACGCUGUCCUAGUCGGCCACCACGGCAUUGAGCGUUUCUAUGCCAUAAUAGAAAGAGUAAUACUCUUAAUAGGAGGAUGAGCAAUAGUAGCAGCAGCAGCGAUGGAAGUAUAUCUAAUGAUUUUGUCCUUAUUGAUUAUGCAUUUUUCUAGCUAAAAUGUAUAAAAUAUAAUAAUUCUGUAAACGACGCUCAGUAGUAACUUUGACUUUUGCAAACCGUAAGGACUGGAUUGAAAUUAGCUACGCAAGUAUUCAAAUAGUAAAUUCAAAAUACCGGCUUUGCAUAUGUCACCUAAUACAUACAGACAUGAUACAUGCAUGUACAUGGUAACACAUCUAAUCGCUGAGAAUAAAUAAACUUAACAAAUUAGCAACUAUGCAUCCACGGCGGAUCCAGCGUGCGGCCAAAAAGUCCUCUCAUAUGGCAGCUUCGUGAACAGGGAACCUCACCUCGCUGAGUAGUCAGAUACCACGGUAUUGAGCGGACGUACAGCAAGCUGAAGAAGCUUUUGCCCUCUGAAAUAAUCUUCAAUUACCAUUAUGCCAUGCCUUGUAUUGUGGAACAAGGAAUAUAGUUUAAUUUAAACUAAAAAGGUCUCAAUAUGACACAAUCCAUCAUCAUAAUACUAACACACUAAAACCUGACAGCCGUAAAAUAAUGCAGUACCGACAACCAUACUACUAAUACAAAGUAAAUACAAUAUAAGAAAAAGAGUACAAUAUAAGAAAAAGAGUGUCUAGAUCAUGCAAAUUGCCGAUUCUUCUUAGGGCUUGUUUAGUUCUAAAAAAAUUUUACAAAAUUUUUCAGAUUCUCCGUCACAUCAAAUCUUGCGGCACAAGCAUAGAGCAUUAAAUAUAGACGAAAACAAAAACUAAUUGCACAGUUUACAUGUAAAUUGUGAGAUGAAUCUUUUAAACCUAGUUACUCCAUGAUUGGAUAAUAUUUGUUAAAUAAAAACAAAAAUGCUACAGUGUAAAAUUCCAAAACCUUUUUGGAUCUAGGCCUAUGCUUCUAAUGGAUAAUUUCAACAAAUAAAAUGCAUUUCCAAUCAUCUAUCUUCUCCCUCAUAGCAUCUACCAAUCAAAUAUCUUUGUAUCUUAGUGUCCAUGUAGACAUGGUUUCUGUUGACACCGUUUUUGGGCACGUGUCUACGAUGGCAGGAUAGGGUGGCAGUACGAUGCGGGCUGCUGAUGAGGAUGGUUGCCGAUGAGGGAGAGUUUGAAUGUGAUUAAGUCCACAGGCAGUAAUAUGGUGCCGAUGGCCGGAUAAAAAGGUCUGCCGAUGACUAUGGCAAGGGGAUUGCCGAUGAUGCUAAGGAGGAGUCCAGAAGCUGCCAGUUGUCAUGUGGAGGAGUUUCGGUUUGUCACGAAGGAUAGUUUUAUUAUUUCCUUAAUUAUUUGCAUCGUUUUGUAUACGGAUUCCGUGUAAUUUGGAAUUCGAAUUCUAAUCGUGUCUGGUUGUAGCUCUUUGAGCAGGGUAUAAAAUAAACCCUAGGACCUUGUAAUAAUGGAAUCAAGAAUCAAUCAAUCAAACGCAAGUUUUUACUCAUAUUCCAGCAUCUACUAUUUCGACGACUUCGUCAUACUUUUUCCUUUUUUACGAGUUCUUAGGAAUUCGUCGACUUAAGCUCGGCGUGUUCUCAAGUUCCGCGUGAAUACCUCUUGGCCGUGGCAUCCGGGCGCAUCGCUGUUGUCGGGACCAAAGUAUUCGAGUUAUCACCUUUGCCGAUAGUAAGGUCAAAUCGGCUGGCACGCCUUAACGUUGAAAUCGGGUAUUAGCCCUUUGUGUUUGCAGAUCAACUUUUGCAUCAACACAUCUUUUGGCACGCCCAGUGGGACAAGAUUCAAGAUCAAGAUCAACAUGUCGAUCUCUGACCUCGAUCAAGAGAACGUCAUCCCCGUGACGGAGGCCAACCUCAAGGAUGAGCAGAAGCAAGCUAUUGCCCAAGCUAUGGAAGAGUUCAAGCAGCAAUGCCUGAGGUCUUUCAGCAUAAACAGGAGCGGCGAAGUGGUCCAGAAAGAUGCACUGCCGGCACCACGGCAGGUCACCUUUGACGCCAAUCCUGGCAAGCUUCAGGAUAUGGUUGACAAUGCCAUCAAUCGAGCGUUGAUUAACCAAGCUGGUGUACUGUCUAAUACGGUUUUCAAUGCCGUGGCAAGGACUUUCAAGGAAGGACAAAUCCCGCCAGAUUAUGUGGGGCCCUCCCAUCAUCAGCCAACGGCACCAGAGGUCACGGCUCCAUCGGCUGCCUUGACGAAUGCAAGUGCACAACCUGCCGUCCCUCCAAGUACAUCGGGGACUACUGGUGCACUAUCUAUGCCGAUGGUAACCAACCCACAAAUUUCAGUUGGGCAGCAUAAACUGACAACAGAUAUGUUGGCAUCGGCAAUGUCAGGGUUGACUCUUCCUCCCAACUGGUGGGGUUACGGUAUGCCUCCAGAGUUGACACCGGGAACAUCACAAAUUACUGACAUGAGGGGCAAAACUCCUAUGACCUCGGCACCUCCCAAUGCGCCGGUGAACCAGAGUCCUCGGUAUACCACAACUACUACUGCAAGGCCUCACACUGGAAAUCCUCAAGAUUCAAUGUUCCAGAUGCCCAACGCAUCGGCAGAGUCAAUGCUGAUGCAACAGAGGUCUAUGGCCCAGUCGGGGUAUGUCAAUUCAACGACGGUACCCAAUUACCAGUCAUCGGCAGCACUUAUGCCGAUGAACGCUAAUAAUGGAUGGCUUGGACAGCAAGCCUUUCCACAAUCGCCCCAGCAGGGUUAUCAGACUACGGGGUUCCAGCAAGGGCAGGUCUAUCCCGGGUUCCAAGGUCAGGGGAUUCCCAACCAGCCAAUAAAUUUUGGACAGCAACUCGGAGGACAGCCAAUCGGUGGACAGCAGUUUGGUGGUCCGCAGAUUGGAGGACAGGUGACCAAUACAAUGUUCCAUGCAGGUCACGUCCCGAACAGACACGUGGAGGUUCGCCACCAAGUGCCAGAUCCGCAGCCGCCUCAUCGGCAAGAUGCCGAUGCGUAUUGGGCCGAUAAGAUUGCUGAAGUAAUGAGGGAACAAUUUGGGAUAAAACCCAAAGUCAAUACUUAUUCUUAUCGGACACCGUAUCCUCCAGCGUAUGAUUUGAUCCCGCUUCCACAUCGGUACAAGGUACCGGAUUUUACAAAGUUUUCCGGACAGGACGACACGUCAACCAUGGAGCAUGUCAACAGGUUCAUUAUUCAAUGUGGAGAGGCUGGUAACAGGGACGAAUUGAGGGUUCGUCUAUUUUCAUCAUCAUUGUCUGGAUCGGCCUUUACUUGGUUCAUAUCAUUACCUCCCAACUCAGUAAUUACUUGGGCCGAUCUAGAGAAGCAAUUCCACAAAUACUUCUUCUCGGGGGUUCAUGAGAAGAAGAUCACCGACUUGGUCAAGUUGAGGCAACGUAAUGAUGAGUCGGUUGAGGGAUUUGUGCAGAGGAUACGAGAGGUCAAAAAUAAAUGCUAUAGCCUGGUUCUGGAUGAUCGGCAGCUAGCCGAUUUGGCUUUCCAGGGUUUGUUGCCACAUAUCAGGGAUAAGUAUGCCUCUCAGGAGUUCGAAAGUUUAAGUCAUUUGGUUGAGAGGAUAUCUGAUCAAGACAUCAGGCCUUUCGAGCCUAAGAGGGCAUGGAAUAAGAAAGUGUCAUUUGUUGAUGAAGCAACAAGCUCAGAUUCCGAUGAGGAACCAGUAAUCGGUUUGGCAGAGUGGGUAAAAAACAAGAAGCCGAUGUCUUGUCCUUUUGGGCAGAAGGAACCAGAGAAGUUUGCCUUUGACACCGCCAAGGCCGAUAGGAUAUUUGACUUUCUACUUCAGGAAGGUCAAAUCAAACUGUCACCUAACCAUGUGAUCCCAUCGGCAGAAGAGUUGAAGAGGAUGAGAUACUGCAAGUGGCAUAAUGCAACUUCACAUGACACCAACGAGUGCAAAGUAUUCAGACAGCAGCUGCAAUCGGCUAUAGAGUCAGGGAGAAUCAAGUUUGACAGUUCCAAGGCCCAGAAGCCGAUGAAGAUAGACCAACAUCCUUUCCCAACAAACAUGUUGGAUGCUAAGGGGAAGGCUAAGGUCUUAACGUCGGAGACAGCUGAGAAGAGUGCAUCGGUAGAUCCUCAGCAUCAAGUUACUACUGCCGAUGCAAGAAGUAAGGGCUUGGUCCAGGAAGGAGCUAGCUCAGGAAGACUUCCUCGAUCUGGUAUCGUCAUAACUCAUAGAAGGCCUCGAGAGAGAUGGCAACAACGGGAAGAUCGGUAUCGGCGCCAGCAGGAAGAUUAUCAACGGGAAGAAGAAAGACGCCGACAGGAGUGGAAUCGGCACAGGGAUCAUUGGAAUUGCCCAUUCUUCAUCCAUUGUUGGGAGGAAAAUAUCAAGCUUCCUACUGUCAGAGACUGCCCUGAAUGCAACGGUUAUGAUCGGUACGAUAGGAACGAUCGGCGUUAUCAUGAUGAUGAACGGCGAGCUAAUGGGCCGAUCAGAGGAAGGGUGUCAGUUCAUGACCGGCUGGGGGGCAGAUUCAGUGGGCACAACAGACUUAGUGACCGUGUCCAGUAUUUUCCCAGGAACCAAGAGGAGCUCGAAGGAAUGGCUGAUGCGCGGGUUCCUGAUGAAUUCAUAUUCUGCAGGGAUGCUAACACGCAUCGUAUGGAGUCAAGGGAGAACCGACGCCCGACGGCAAGGCAAAGGCCACUUCCUCCAUGGUGCCCUCGAGGAUUAACCAAGACACAGAAAAGGAGAUUGCAAUGAGAAAGGCAAGAGGAGCUAAACAAGGGAGAGAGCUCUGGAAGUCGGCAGCCGUCAGGCACUAAGAGGGAAGGUCCAUCGGCAGGCGUCAACAUGGUCUUCAUGUUGCCGAUGGAGUUUCUUGCACCAGCCAGUGACGAUGAGUUGGAAUUUUCUGAUCAGAUAGCUCAGUUGGCUCUGGAUCCGAUGACGGCUAUCUUCGAGAAACCUGCCGAUGACGAGAGGCAGCAUCUUAAAGCUUUGUUCCUCAAAGGAAGGGUUGAUGGGCAGCCAAUGACCAAGAUCCUAGUUGAUGGUGGAGCUGCUAUUAAUAUUAUGCCGUAUGCAGUAUAUCGGAAGCUUGGGAAAGGGGAUCAAGAUUUGACCAAGACCGAUAUGAUGCUCAAAGACUUUGAAGGAAACGUGUCUCCAGUCAAGGGGGCGAUAUGUGCAGAGUUGACCAUCGGCAGCAAAACCUUGCCGACAACUUUUUUCGUGAUCAGCGGAAAAGGUGCCUACAAUUUAUUAUUGGGGAGAGAUUGGAUCCAUGCCAAUUGUUGUGUCCCAUCUACAAUGCAUCAGUGCUUGGUUCAGUGGGUAGGUGACAAGAUUGAGAUCGUCCCAGGGGAUUCUUCUUAUGUUAUCGCAUCGGCAGAAGCGGAUACUUAUGAAAGGACUAGGUGCAUUUCAGGAGAAGUUUGGGAGAAAGAUUUUCUCAAAGUUGCCGAUUAUGAGAUUCCACCGAUCCAAGCAGUCGGUUCUGACGACGGUUUUUAAUGGAUAGAUUCGCCGAUGAUGGAAAAUUAGGCCAGGGAUUCACAUCGGCCGAUGAUUUGGUAGAAGUAGAUAUAGGUAGUGGUGAUAAGCCUAGGCCUACUUUUAUUAGUGCUAAAUUAGAUCCUGAGUGUAAGCGGCAAUUGACUAGUUUGUUAAAGGAAUAUAAAGAUUGCUUUGCUUGGGAUUAUACAGAGAUGCCUGGUUUAGACCGAUCAAUUGUUGAACAUCGGUUACCCAUCAAGUCUGGAUUUCGGCCACAUCAGCAACCAGCCCGCCGAUGUAAUCCUAACAUUCUACCUGAUAUUAAGGCCGAAAUCACUAAACUUAUUGAAGCUAAGUUUAUUCGGCAGUGUCGGUAUGCCGAAUGGAUUUCCAAUGUUGUUCCGGUUUACAAGAAGAAUGGGAAGCUUCGGGUGUGCAUUGAUUUCAGGAAUCUCAAUAAAGCUACGCCGAUGGAUGGAUACCCACUGCCUGUCGCCGAUCUACUGGUUGAUGCUGCGGCUGGCCAUCGGGUCAUCAGCUUCAUGGAUGGUAAUGCAGGUUACAAUCAAAUAUUCAUGGCAGAGGAGGAUAUUCCAAAAACCGCAUUCAGGUGUCCUGGUCAUGUUGGACUAUUUGAAUGGAUAGUCAUGACUUUUGGGUUAAAGAAUGCUGGUGCUACUUAUCAAAGGGCUAUGAAUUUUAUAUUUCAUGAGUUCAUCGGCAAGCUCGUAGAGAUUUAUAUUGAUGAUGUGGUGGUUAAGUCUGGAGAUUUCUCAAAGCAUCUCGCCGAUUUACGAAAAGUGUUGGAGUGCACAAGGAAGCAUGGAUUGAAGAUGAAUCCCAACAAGUGUGCAUUUGGCGUAUCGGCAGGGCAGUUUCUUGGUUUCAUGGUACAUCAGAGGGGUAUUGAAAUUAGUCGAAGAUCUAUUGAUGCCAUCAAUAAAAUAGUGGCCCCUACCAAUAAAACCGAGCUCCAAUCCUUGAUCGGCAAGGUAAAUUUUAUCAGAAGAUUUAUAUCGAAUUUAUCUGGGAGGAUUCGUGCUUUCAGUCCUCUUCUUAAAUUGAAAGCCGAUCAAGAGUUUGUUUGGGGAGAAGAACAGCAGUUGGCUCUAGAUGAAAUCAAGAAGUACCUAGUAAAUCCUCCAGUUUUAGUUCCACCUCAACAAGGGAAGCCCUUCAAAUUGUGUUUAUCUACCGAUGGAUCGGUUAUCGGUUCAGCUUUAGUUCAAGAAUUUGAAGGGAAAGAGAGGGUAAUUUAUUAUUUGAGUAGGAGGUUGAUUGAUGCUGAAACCAGGUAUUCGGCCAUUGAGAAACUAUGCUUAUGCUUAUAUUUUUCAUGUAUCAAGCUAAGACAUUACCUGUUAUCGGCCGAAUGCACUGUUGUUUGCAAAGAUGACGUGGUCCGAUACAUGCUAUCUAUGCCGAUUAUGAGUGGUAGGAUCGGUAAAUGGAUUUUAGCGCUGUCGGAGUUCGAUUUGCGUUACGAGUCGGCUAAGGCAGUCAAAGGGCAGAUUAUGGCCGAUUUUGUGACUCAGCAUUGCGGUCUAGUGGAAACCUUGGAAAUUGCACCCUGGACGCUCUUCUUUGAUGGAUCUACCUGUGACCAGGGGGGAGGAAUCGGCAUUGUAUUAGUUUCUCCUAAGGGGAAGAAGUAUGAGUUUUCCUUGCCGAUUGUUGCUACAUCAACAAAUAAUCAGGCUGAGUAUCAAGCUCUGAUCAAGGGAUUGGAGUUGUUAAGAGAAGUUCGUGCUGAUGCUGUUGAAAUAUUCGGGGAUUCUAUGUUGGUUAUAAAUCAAUUGGCCGGGAGCUAUGAAUGCCGAAGUGAAGUUCUCAUAACCUAUUUCGAGAGAAGUAUGCAACUGUUAAAGGAAUUCAAGGACUUCCGAUUGGAGCAUGUUCCCCGAUUGCAUAAUGAAGACGCUAAUCGGUUAGCUCAGCAUGCUUCGGGAUAUCAGCCAAUGAUUAAUGCGACAUCGGCAGUCGGUGCCGGUGAUUGGAGGAAAGAAAUUAUUGAUUAUCUAAAAGAUCCAUCCAAAAAAGUUGAAAGGCGGGUUCGAUUUCAGGCAACCAAGUAUGUGCUCCUUGAAAAUGAAUUGUAUUAUCGAACUAUCGACGGAAUUCUUCUUCGAUGCUUGGGUGAUGAUGAAGCCAGAAGUUUGAUGGGGGAAAUCCAUGAAGGAGUGUGUGGAGCGCAUCAGUCAGCUUUUAAGAUGAAGUGGAUGAUCCGAAGGAAUGGGUAUUUUUGGCCAACCAUACUUGAAGAUUGUUUUAAAUAUUUCAAGGGAUGUCAAGGUUGUCAAAAGUUCGGUAAUAUCCAGAGAGCACCCGCAUCGGCUAUGAAUCCUAUAAUAAAACCUUGGCCGUUCCGGGGAUGGGCCAUCGAUUUGAUCGGCCAGAUUUAUCCACCAUCUAGCAAAGGGCAUAAGUUCAUUCUAGUUGCCACUGACUAUUUCACUAAGUGGGUCGAAGCUAUUCCUUUGAAGAAAGUCACAUCGGCCAAUAUGAUUGAUUUUGUGAAGGAGCAUAUUAUUUACCGAUUUGGGAUUCCCCAGACGAUUACUACCGAUCAGGGCACCAUGUUCACGUCGGGGGAGUUCGAUGAAUUCGCAAUCGGUAUGGGAAUUAAAGUGUUGAAUUCUUCUCCUUACUAUGCUCAAGCCAAUGGGCAGGCCGAAGCGUCUAACAAAGGAAUUAUCAAGCUUAUUAAACGAAAGAUUGAAGAAAAUCCUAGGCGGUGGCAUACAUUGUUAAAUGAAGCACUAUGGUCUUAUCGGAUGGCUUGUCAUGGAUCAACCAAGGUGUCACCCUAUCAAUUGGUGUAUGGACAUGAUGCAGUGUUGCCUUGGGAGAUUAAGGCUGGAUCUAGGCGAUUAUCUUUUCAAGAUCAAUUGGCUGCCGAUGAUUAUGCCACUUUGAUGACCGAUGAGUUAGAUGAUUUAGCAGGGCAUCGGUUAAAGGCUUUAAUGAGUAUAGAAGAAAAUAAGAAGAGAGUUGCUAGAUGGUAUGAUAAGAAAGUAAAGGCUAAGGAGUUUGCCGAUGGGGAUUUGGUAUGGAAGUUGAUUUUGCCAGUCGGGACUAAAAGUUCGAAGUUUGGGAAGUGGUCUCCUAAUUAGGAAGGUCCUUAUCGGAUAAGACACUCGGCUCCUGGUAAUGCCUAUAUUCUAGAAACUCUCGAAGGAGUUGAAUUUCCCAGAGCAUUAAAUGGCAAAUAUUUAAAGAAGUACUACCCCAGCAUAUGGGUCGAUGCAUAAAAGUUUAAGUGCCGAUAACACUCCUAUCGGCUGGAUUUAAAUGUUUGGGGGCAGACUUGAUGUUUCAAAAGAUGCCGAUAACAGUCUUAUCGGCUAGACUAAAAGCUAAAAGCGGGAAAACAAAGGUGUGUUGCCGAUGAAAGCUUCAGAUGUUCAGCAGCGCUUGGAUUGCCGAUAUGGCGCGCAGCCGGAUCUGAUUGGCUGUCUCUAUCUCUUUGAUAUCAUCAUCGGCAGAACCUUCUAUCGGCUUCAGCUUCCUCUUCAACUGCAGCGCUUUGCGACCGUGGACGUUUCGUUCUUGCUCAAGGUGCUUGAUGGUCUCCGGCAGUUGACUCUCUUCUUGCUGGGCUUGGGACAGAGCAUCCUCUACUUGCUUGAGUUCGGCCAGUAGAGCUUCUCUUUUUGCUGAUAGAUCAGAUACUUUCUGCUUCAGCGCGUCACCUGAGGACUUUAAGGUGCCGAUGUUCUUAUGUUUCUCAUCGGCUAAGAGUUUUUCUUUCAUCAUCUCCUCAGAAAGCUGGAUUUGAGCGGCUCUAUCGGCAAGGCGUCGAGUGGCUCUCUGGUACUGUAGCUGGCGGCUUUCUAGGUGUGCAGCAUGGAAGAGGGUUUCUUUAGCAUCGGCAGGAAUUUGGCCUCUAAGGGUUUUGAACAGGGCCUUGGCUGGGUCAGAAUCGUUGACCAGUUGAGCUGUGUCUUGAUGAAGUAUGGCCGAUAGCUCCUCCAGCUUAGCCCUGGUUUCUGCCGAUACAGUCUCAAUUGCCCGAGAGGAGCUUGCUUCCUCACCUUCUUCUUCGAAGAUAUCAAUGGCGAAGGAGAAUAAACUAUCGGGAGAAUCUUGUUCCUGAAAAUGAGAAUGAAAUAAGUCAUUUUUAUGGUCAAAGCUUCGGCAGACGACGCUGGUGGAAAAAUUGGAUGACUUACUUGUUUCAAGGCAAUUUCUUGCCUUUGACUCAAAGAUACCGAUGGAGCUACAGGUCGAUCGGCAAAUGUUGCCGAUGGAACGAUAUCGCCUGAAAGAAGACAGGAAGGGUUAUGAGACUAAAUGAGAAUAAGUUUAUCGGCGGAAGUAUUGUUGAGAUAUGUUACCCAGAGGAGGAACAACAGUUGUCUGAAUCGGGGAAACCGCCGAUGAUAUAACUGGACCUGCCGGGCCAGUUGUUUGUUCACCCACGUCAGCUGAUGUACCUUCUGUUUGAAGUUCUUCCUGCUGGGGUUCUUCCAUCUGUGGUGCUUCCUGCAUUGGUUGGGGAGAUGGUGCUUGCUGUGUCUGGACUUCUGGAGAAGAGGGGGAAGAUUCCACCAGGAUUGGAGACACCGGAGGAGGAGGGGGAGUUGCCACUUUCUGGCGCUUUGUUCCAGCCUUAGCACCUUGGGUGCCCUUCCUCUUUGGCUGGCUAGACUGGGGGGCAUCGGUACCUUGGCGUUUGGCUUUUGCCGAUGCACCAGUUUGCUGCAACAACAAAAAGGAGUUUAUGAGCAUAGAUAGCCGAUACAAAGAUAGUCAGCAUAAAUGAAAAGGGUUUGACAAAUUGCCUUGAAAGCUUACGCCAGAGUGGAAGCAGUUACCGUUGGCGAUGUCUGAGUUUUCCUGGUGGUAACUUUCUUGAGGCGCACACCCCGAUGCACGAUGGAAGCCAGAGUGGGAGCAUUGUGGCCGAUUGAGGAGAUCGGGCCUGAGGGGAACAAGUCGAUCGGCUUGCCACUCCUGCUAACCGAUGGGGGGGUGUUGUCAACCUGCAAAAGGAAUACAGGGGUAAGUUACCGAUGGAAAUAGUAUUGGAAAAUGAGACAUCGGUUUAAAAUACUUACAGUGUCAUCAGGGACUUCGUAUUCAGGGUCGAUCAUGCCGCGGUAUGAGAGGGCCGAUCUGCAGAAGAGAUUUUCUUUCCAUUCUGCCCACCAUAGCUUGUAUGCCUGAGUGAUAAAGGCAGCUGGAACCCAUUCUGACAGAUCUACAUCUGUAUCGGCAUUUGGUGGUAGCUGGGCUACUCGAGUCCACUCGAGAAGGUUGGUGAUGGGUUCUCUGGGCUUUAUCACAUCGGCAUAAGGAAGUGCAAUCGGCAACUGGCCGAAAGCUAGCUGGCGAGCUAAUGCCGAUGGAUUGUAAAAUUCAUAGGUUUGGGGAGAGGUUUUUGUGCUACCGAAGAAAUUCACUGGUAUGGCUCUGGGAGUCACAAUUGCCAUCAUCACCUCAUUAUCCCUGUCAAGAGCUUCAUCAAAUGGAUUGAAGGUUAGAGGGAGCAUGCUGUCUGGGUCAUCAUAGGCCAACCAUGGUCGUUCAUCUCUGGCCAAUCCCUCAUACAGAGUCUCGAAGAAUCGGCCGAUCUGAUCCGGAUUGUUCCCUGAACCGGGUAAGACUAUAACGGCUUCGCCAAAGUUCAAGGGGGCACGCGUUGCCGAUUCCUCUUCACCCAACACAUGAUUUUCGGCUAUAUCUCUUGGGAAGUGCUGUGAGAACAAGUUGAAAUCAAGGCGCUUAUGCAGGUGCAGAUUGAGCCACAUAUUAAUAAACCACCAGGGGCCUCCCAAGUUGCCGAUGGAUUGGCCAAGCAGGAGUUUCUGGGCUACCUGAUGAAGAAGGUGGUAAACAGCGCUGAGCAAAUAUCGGCCGAGAGGAAAUUGGCCACCGCUAGCCAGUCUUUCUGCUGCCGAUAGAUAGACAGAAGUCGGUCCUGCCGAUCGGCCACAGAAUACAAACUUGUCCAGCCACAUGUUCAGAAAGGUGGUUUGCUCCUUUAGGGUGACAGGCCCUCUCCCGUGGUACUUCUGGAUGUACCCUGACCAACCGCCAAUAGCGCGAGUCUCCACUUUGGCACUGGGGGCAGUAUCAAAAAAGUGGGUGCUAUCGGCAGAAGAUAUAUCUAGCCCAGUGAGCAUGGCUACAUCGGCAAGGGUAGGAGAAGCAGGGCCGUGGCCAAAAACAAAAGCAUCGAGAGUGUCUGACCAAAAGUAGGAUGCAGCUAUCAGCAGUGACUCGUUCCUGUGCAUAUCGGCAAUGGAUAGCCUAAUGCAUUGAGCUAGCUUCCUCUCACCCCACUGGACUUCAUAAGAAUUGCUGACCCUCAAGAACCAAUCUUUCCACCCUACAGUAGGGCUGGGCCAAGAGCGAAAGGUGUCUUUCCACAGAUCUAAAGAAAAGUUUUAGGCUCUAAAGGGAAUCCUGUUGGUUUCUGCAUUGAUAAGGUCGGUUGGAUCUGGAUUCCCUAGAGGGCCGAGGCACUGAAGGUGUGGUUGAUCGGUAGGGAUGACAAUUUUGUUGGACAACUCCUAGUGUUUUGGGGAAUAAAAAUACAAAGAAAAAGGAAAAGGAAGAUAUUCAGUAAGAUGAAUCGCAGAUGAACAGGAAUGCGAGAAAAGGUACAGGAGAUGAGAUGGAAGUCUGACCUCAGGGACGACGAAGCCAAUGGCCAUCUUGUCGUGAAGAGGACGUUGGAGGGCACCGGAGUUGAUGGAGAGGAGUGCUUGUCGGAGAUCUUGAGGGUUGUAAAUGGCGCCGCCGCUGGAAAAGCAAAGGUGGAUAGUAGAAUGGUGUAAUGGGGGAGGAGUACCCAAGAAGGAACUAUUUAUAAGACAAGAUGGGCAAGGGCAAAUCCGAUUUAUCUCUUUGCCGCAUCCGAGAAACCCGAGGGUACUCAGGUGGAUAUGGUAACUGUUCGCACGGUAAUCCAGGGAUUGUGCAGGUGAUUUGACGGGAAGCGGUCAUUAUCUGAAGAUAUUUUACUGUGCGAGAUCUCCUGGUCGGUCCAUCGGUGAUAUUCUAUAACGGUCAUCUUGCCGAUGGGCGGAUAGAGGGGAGGUAACCGUUUUUGCGAAUAUCCUGGUCAGAGCAUCGGCAGAUCUUUGUAACGGUAUUGUUGCCGAUGUACGACCAAGAAAGAUGCCCGUUUAGGAAGUUGGGGAUUUCGAGGAAUCUGCGGAGGAUUAGGAUCAGAGUUGUCCAGAUUGAGGUUGUCGGUUCCCAGAUUAGGAGCAUUAAUUGCGGAGAAGGCAUCAUUACUGCAGAGAAUUUCGGAGCAUUAAUAGUUUUAUACUCCGAAACUGGGGGGCAUGUGUUGACACCGUUUUUGGGCACGUGUCUAGGAUGGCAGGAUAGGGUGGCAGUACGAUGCGGGCUGCUGAUGAGGAUGGUUGCCGAUGAGGGAGAGUUUGAAUGUGAUUAAGUCCACAGGCAGUAAUAUGGUGCCGAUGGCCGGAUAAAAAGGUCUGCCGAUGACUAUGGCAAGGGGAUUGCCGAUGAUGCUAAGGAGGAGUCCAGAAGCUGCCAGUUGUCAUGUGGAGGAGUUUCGGUUUGUCACGAAGGAUAGUUUUAUUAUUUCCUUAAUUAUUUGCAUCGUUUUGUAUACGGAUUCCGUGUAAUUUGGAAUUCGAAUUCUAAUCGUGUCUGGUUGUAGCUCUUUGAGCAGGGUAUAAAAUAAACCCUAGGACCUUGUAAUAAUGGAAUCAAGAAUCAAUCAAUCAAACGCAAGUUUUUACUCAUAUUCCAGCAUCUACUAUUUCGACGACUUCGUCAUACUUUUUCCUUUUUUACGAGUUCUUAGGAAUUCGUCGACUUAAGCUCGGCGUGUUCUCAAGUUCCGCGUGAAUACCUCUUGGCCGUGGCAUCCGGGCGCAUCGCUGUUGUCGGGACCAAAGUAUUCGAGUUAUCACCUUUGCCGAUAGUAAGGUCAAAUCGGCUGGCACGCCUUAACGUUGAAAUCGGGUAUUAGCCCUUUGUGUUUGCAGAUCAACUUUUGCAUCAACAGUUUCCUACAUAAGAAACCAUCUGCUUCUCGUUCUUCAACAACAACAGUGACACAUUAGCAUUUUGCUUAGCUAGCACACUAAUUAAUAGCUAUAGAAACCAUCUAGUUUUCUGACUAGGAUUGCCCUGAGUGGGGGAUAGGGUUUCACAUACUACUGCCGACAUUAUUUCACUAAUGACACUUUGACUAUCCGUUGGACAAUGUGGUGCGACUAGUGGUGAAAAUUGUUUUCACCUCCAGGUCGAUAUAUGAUCCGACAACAGCUAUAGUAGCGGUUAUCAUAGCUGGAUAUCAAAUGCAGACUCAACAGUGAAAACAGUUUUCGCCGCUGGUUUUUCGCCCACUACACCACACACUUACAAAUUGCCCAUGGUAAGAAGGUUCACCACCAUUUUUUAUGGUAGAUGGGGGUAGUAGCCAUUUGAGUUAGCAGUGAAAAAUGCUAUCAUUGUCGGUUCGAAAGAUAAUCCGAUGGUGAACUGCUGGGUCAAAGAGAAAGUAAGCUUCACCUACUAUGAAUCGGCAGUGAAUAUGGUUUUUACCGCCGGUUCAUCAUAUGAUCUGGCAGUAAAAAUCGGUAGCGACCAAAACCCCUUUUCUCUCCUAUUCUUCAUCACUCUAAAUGUUUACCCAUGACUCUCACCCUUUCGUUCACUAUUCUCGUGUCUAUUGUUCGGCAUGUUCCUUAUGGAAGCUCUCAAUUCUCAAAGGGUGCACACCACUUGUUCUAAGGUUGGAAACUAACAACCCUUUUAUAUUUCAAGCUUGUUCCUUUGUUUUACUCUCUGGUGGGGCAACUCCAGUGCCCACCAUAGAGCUCUAUGAGCACAUCUCUUGAACCGUUUUCAAAUGGCUAAGUCCCAAAUGGUGUCCAUCAAGACCCCCAACACCUUUAACAAUGAGGAAGCAUUUUCAAAACUUUUUGUGAAGGUUUUCUCUUGCUUCCUUUCCAUGCCACUCAAUACAAAUGAACUCUCGAGUUAGAUCUCAACUAGUGGCACUAGAUAAGCGAUUAGCCAAAAAAACCUUAGGUCAGGUACUUCUCUAAACCAAGCCAAGUACUUCUCUACUCAACCUUAGGUCAGGGAAAUGAAAUGCCCUAUAAGCGUGUACCUUUUUCUUGCGCAUUUUCAUUUCAUCUCCAUAUUGGUGAUGCCUGCGAGCAUCCACUCUCCAACUCAUCGAAUUCCAAAUGUUGAACAAGUGUGUGUGGACCAACUCAUAUCUUUAUCACUUGACUAUUGUUCAUGCAAUGAAGCUCGUCCAUAUUUUUCUUUCAUCGAGCCACUUGACAUCUACAUUGUCAACGUAUUUGGCUCCUCACCUUCACUCCAUUAAGCAACUUGAUAUCUUCACAUAUCUUCACUUGGCUUGAUCUUUAUGAAUGAUUUGAUCCUCUCCAUAGCUUCACAUGGACUUCAUAGUCCAUUGACCUUAGCCAUGCAUGCUUGCUCUUCUCCAUUGUCUUUGGUGAGAGGACAUAAUUGAGAGACAUGUCUCUACUAUGAGUGCCAUCAAAGAUGCCCCAUAAUUCACCAGUGUCUCUGACUAAAGGAGUUCCCAUCACAUACAAGAUUAAAUAACCAACGUCUCUGAUGUGCAUCCCUUCGCAAACCCAUCUUAGUCAAAUUGCAUCUCUAAUGAAAUGGGACACCACCAAAGAUACGACUAAAUAGUUUGUGUCUCUGAUGUAAUUUUGAACAACCUCAUUAGACGACACAUAAGAUUCACUACGCGUCUUUGAUUAUUUGAGCCCCAUGUAUGCAUCUUCUGAAUUGCAUCUCUGAAGUGGUAGCCAUGGAGCUCCGUUAUUGUUGUGUCAUGUUGAUCUUGUUUCGGCACACGUGCGAUCUAGUGUUGUUGACACCUGCCCCAUCAUUGCCGCUAUCUUGCUCGAUCCAUCUCUUUGGUUUCCCCCCACCUAUCCAUGAGUUACUCUCCUCUGCUUGCACCACACGCUCCGACCAUGCAUAGUUGUUGGAACAUGUGGCACCGAGCCACCGUCACCAAUUGUGCCAUGGCGACAUAGCAUUAGAAGGCAAGAGCUUCUGUGCGGUUGCGGUCGCAUCUCCAUAGCUUUUGCCAUAUCUAGAUUCAUUGUUUGCAUCAGUGCAUGCACUAAGGCAUGGCUCUCCUUAGGUGAGAGUUGCAUGUUGUGCAAGUUCACUCCGCUUGCAUGCCCAAGUUCUACCCGAUCCAAGUUGCUUCAUCUAAGAAAAAAUUGGCAAGGUGUUUGGUUUGAAAAAUAAUUUAGUCUAUCAUCUUCUCACUCUUUAUUUUUUAUUUAGUUUGUGAAAUGAAAUGAGUUGAUUCAUCAACACGUUAUUUCUCUCAAGUGAAUAUGUAAUUAAUAAUACUAUUAUGCAUGAGAAAUGGAAUCAUUUCACCAAAUUUGAGUAAUAAUAAACUUAUGAUGUACCACCUCAUCAUCUAGUAGUACAAGAGUGAUUCCUCAAAUCGAACAUCCUAUAAAUACAGCACUAAGUGCCUAUGGGAAUCUUGAUAGUCAAAAAAUUGACUAAGUUUAUAGAAAAUAUUAGCAACAUUUAAUUCUUCGAGUAAGUUUACUUUGAAAAUAGAUACAAUCUAUCUAAUGAUAAUAAUUAUGUAUUAUUAAUAUUAAUAUUUUAUUUUAUGCUCCCUCCAUCCCAUAUUAUAAGACAUUUGAUUUUUUUUAUCUUAAGUUUGACCACUCGUCUUAUUCAAAAUAUUUGUGUAAAUAGAGUCAAAUUUAAGUCAUUUUUGUAGAACUUUUAUUAAUAAAGCAAGCCACGAUAAAAAAAAAAGUAAAAUUUUGCACAAAUUUUUUAAUAAAACUUGAUGUCAAAAAAGUCAAACAUCUUAUAAUUUGGGAUGGAUUGAGUAUUUAUCAAAGUUAAGUAGUUUGCCUUUUCAGGAAGUGAGAACAACAAAUAAAAAGGGACACAGGAAGUAGAUCGGAUGGUCCAAUAUGUUACUAUGAUGCAACUUAUUGAUUGUGGAUCAUGCAGAUCACUAGUAGUGGCGCGUUGAUUUGGUUUAGAAUCAUGCACAUUGAGGGCCGGCUGGGCCUAUAUCGUCCUCCAUAUGCUCCACGCGAGAGGAAUCAUAUCUUUGAUAUUAGUUUAUUAAUAGUGAUACAUUUACAAAUUAACAUCACAUAUAUAGCUAUAGCUGUCAGUACGUUAUGCUAGCUCUAGAGUUCUUGUGGUGGCUUGGUUUCCAGUGGCACGACAAAGUUGGUGUAAUUAAGAACAAUGGCGUGCAGAUGAGUGGUAGAGCGAGAUAAUAAAUAGUACAUUUCUAAAACGGAGGGAUGAGUAGUUAAAUGCUUAAAAAUGCUUAUAUUAAUUACUACAAGAUCAUCGACCUGAUUUGCUAGCUACUAAUAGAGAUUCGAUCACUAAAUUAGUUAUUAUUGACCAUAAUAUGUAGCUGUCAGCAUGCUUGGGCCUUGUUUAGUUCCCAAAAUAUUUUACAAAAUUUUUCACAUUCCUCAUCACAUAGAAUAUUGCGUAAAAUAUAACUAAUUGCACACCUGUAAUUUGCGAGAUGAAUCUUUUUCAGCCUAAUUAACCCAUGAUUGGACAAUAUUUAUCAAAUACAAACGAAAACUGCUACUGUUUUUAUUUUGUAAAUUUUUUUGAAGUAAACAAGGCCUUGCUCUCGAUCUGUUUUUUCAUGUGGAAUAAUGGUCCUAACAUGAGUGGAAGAAAAGCAAAACGCAUGGCCCAAUAUUUAGAAACUUUUUUUUGAGAGAAAUGUAGCAAUGCUUAAAAACUGAUAGCUGUUGAUCCCAAUCGGUCAUGCGAAGUGUAGAUCCUUAUCCUUAAUCAUAAAUGUUACUAGUAGAUCGCUUGUUGAUGCAAAUUGAAGGCUGGCCAGGCAUCGACAAGAUCGAAGACAGAUCGCUCGCGUCUGUUCCUCUCCUCAACGUUUAUUGGAUCUGAGUCAGUCCCCGUAAAAGUUUUGAGCAUUAAGUUUUGACCAAGCAGCAUCUAUGAUGAUUUUAGUAUUAUCAUAGAUUAACCUGAAUGACGUUUUGUUAGAAAUCAUUGCAGAUUAAUAAAAUCGAUGACGAUCUUAAAUCAUCACAAUAAAGCCUAAGGCCUAGUUAACUCAGCUCAAGUCUAUUCCUGUGAUGGAAAAAAAGGGUCUUGGAUGAAUUGCCUCGUCAUCGUGAAUGUUUACAUGGAUACUUACAUGGAUAACGACAUAGAUACUACCUUAGGCCAUUUAUUAGCAAGUCAAAGUCUAAGAUGGGGCCAAUUUUUAGCCCAAUUUUAGCUAUUUUGGCAGCCCACUUUGAGCCAUUUUGAAGCCCAAAUUUGUCAUCAAUUUUAGCACACUUUUCAGCUCACACUACAGCACACAUGACCCAUAUACAUCACCCAUUUUCACACAUACAACCCAUAUACACAACACAUAUACAUAGCCUAUAAAGCUAAUAAUUGUAGUGGCACAUCAAAUAAAUAAUAUUAUACUUCCAUCCAACAUCAUAUCACAUGAAUUUUAAUCUAACAUCAAAAUACAUAAGUUUUCAUUCAACAUCCCAUCAACUUUGCAGUUUAUAACAAAUAGAGAUUCUAGAAAUUACAUUUCAGCAACUUAAUGCAUAUAGUUGUAGUGGCAAAAUGCAUGUAUGCAGCAGCAGCAGCAAUGACUUUGUUCGGCUAGCUAAAAAAAAGUUGUUGGUGGUAUUGAUGUUGAUUUAUUGUGAGAGAAAAAUAUUAUUCUAUUGUUGAAAAUAGUGCUGACAACAGCGACAAAAUGCAAGCAGCAGCGGCGGCAAAAGAUAUACAUGUAUAGCUUAACUUGGUCGAAAUUGACUCGACAUAAGUUAAAAACAAUAAAAUGCAUGAAGUUAGUAGCAAAAGAUAUAGCACCAUGCAUGUCUUAACUUGGUCGAACUUAACUGAGCAAAAGAUCAAGUUUUGCUUUCAUCUCGGAUUAAGUCCUCUUUAUCUUCUCUCGGUCCAUAAUCCUUGCCUGAUUAGAUUCUUGCACUUUCUUUGAUAAAUCAGUCACUUGUACACGAAACUCAGCAUUUGCCCUUGAAAGGAUCAAGAUACCCAAGAGGGGGGUGAAUUGGGCUUCUCUAAAAAUUUAAGCAACCCAUAAGCUCCAAUUCAACCCUUGUGCCUAAGUGUGUUCUAGAGAGCUACCAGAUAAAAGUUUUGCAACCUAAUUCCAAUCCUAUUCUAGCAUGGCAAUUCUAGGAAUGUAAAGUACUCAAAGUAAAUGCUAGAAUGUAAAGGAUGAGAGCAAGAAGGACGCGGCGAUGUUUUGUCGAGGUAUCGAAGAGUCGCCACUCUCCACUAGUCCUUGUUGGAGCACCCGCGCAACGGCCUUGCUCCCCCUUGGUCCGCGCAAGGACCAAGUGCUCUCUACGGACUGAUUCUCCGAUACUCCGUCGCGGUGAAUCACCCACAACCGUUCACAAGCUUGACACGAGCCACCCACAAGAACUCCGGGCAGUCUUCGUGCCUCCAAUCACCACCAAACCGUCUAGGUGAUGGCGAUCACCAAGAGUAACAAGCAAAGAACUCUCACUUGACCCAAACAAGGCACUAGAGAGUGGUGGAUGCACACUUGAACUCUUGGAACUCACUAGAGAAGGAUUCACUCAAGAAAUCACUCAAUUCUCAAUUCUCUCUAGGCUCUUGCUUCUCUCUCGCACCAUAAGAUGAUUCUUAGCUGAUUAAAUGGGCAAGAGAGCUCUCAUGGAUGAGGUGAAGAAGUAUAAAUACUUCCCAUCAAGUCCAAGGGUCGGCCACUCGAAUUCCACAGAAAACGAGUGCACCGGACGCACUCCGCAGACGGUCCAGUGCUACAUUAACGACUAGUUGUACUUGCAAACCUACCUUACACCGGACGCACCAAACGAUCGUCCGGUGUCUCACUUAGGUCUCGUCCAGUGAGAAACAGGAAUGCAACCCUCUCUGGGUAAGGGACCGGACACACCCCGUAGGGUCCGGUGCCUAACCCUAGGCACUCGGCGUGCUGGCUCAAAACCAACAUACACCAGACGUGCCAACAGUGACACUGUGGCGUCCGGUGCCAGCGUCCAGUGCUUGUUCUCUACCUAAACUUUCGUCGAAUCGUGAACUUUCCAAAACGAAGUUUGGUUCUCUCGAUCUAAGGACUUUCUCAGAGCUGCCUCGUGCUAGGUUUACCAAGUGUGCACCACACCUAAAUCUAAAGUCUUGUCUAGGUCAAGCUACCCGUUCAAUGGCCCCCUUAAUAGUACGGUCAAAGGAAAAACAAAGUCCUAAACUAGUCUAAGUGCCCUUCAACUUCAUAUGGCACUUAGACCUAGUCUAGUCUUGACGAUGUCCAACAAUCCUUUGAAAACCGAAAUGAUUUCCACCAUUAAGUCGACAUGAACGUCCUAGCUAGUUCAUCGAUCACCAUUACCAUGACCUAAUUCAAAUGAUUUUGCCUCUACAAAACACACGUUAGUUAUAGUAAUCAACAUUAUCAUUAAUCAUCGAAACUCAUUAAGGGUCUAGAUACUUUCAGCCCUUUUCUCUACUUCCAACCGUGCCUUAGUGUUUUCACUGGAUUAAGAGAGGGUAUUCUGGAACCCCACACUGCAACAUACAGACCAACUCAAGUGUUGAGCCAUGCCGUGGGCGGACCUGGCCAUCGGGCUGCAGACGGUCAACCGUCAACGCAUGUGUAUGGGCGCAUGGUGAAGUGGAUCCACAGCAUACAUUGGACCUCCAUCGACCAGCGUGACAGACGAGCGGCACUAAUAAACUCAUUGUGGUCGGCUAACUGAAAAAACAGCUAAUGCUAAUUCUAAUUUAUUUUGAAAGAAAACACUAUUAUUUUGCUGUGAGGAUAAAGCCCCCAUGCGAUGGGGACACUCGCUGCUGCACGCAUCGGCACCAGCUUGGUGUGCCCAUAAGGCUAAAUAACAAGGCAGCUCUCAUUCUGGCUUAUUAGGAUUAAGAGCCAGCUCGGCUCGGCUCAUUAUCUUAACGAGUCAAAAAGCUAACUCGACUCAACUUAUUACAAGCUUAAGCUGGCUCAUUAAGCCGGCGAGCCAAAUAUAAAAAGUACAUCAAAAUAUUUACAUUUAUCUAAAACUUAAAAAUAGUAAUAAUACAAAAAUAAUAUAUCCAAAAAUCUUCGGUCAAACAGAAUAUUUAUAUGAGCUAACAUAUCAACUAUUUGUAAAAUGUAAGACAUGAAGUAAUACAAAAUUAAUAUAAGUUAUGUCAACUUUUUCUUUAAAAUUAUAGCUCAUUUGACUCGCGAGCGGCUCAUGAGCUAGCUCAAGUUAGCUCGUUAUAGCUUCGAGUUUUUCCUCAGGCUUAGACCGCAGCACUGCCACGAUGUACAGCGGGCUGCUGGUGCUCAGGAUGCUGAGGCCGCCGGAGCAAAUGGAGCGCCUGGGCGAUGGAGCUCCUCGGAGUGUGCGGACGAUCCAAGGAGUGUGAGGCACUGAGGCUACUGUUGACUGAGAAGGCAGCUGAUUGAUCAAUGCACGAUACUGUUGACCGAGCAGACGCCUGACCUGAUCCAGUGUCCAUACGAUACAAUGCAAUUGAGGAAGCCUCCGUAGAAGGCAAUAGCAAAUAGACUUAACGCAAUGGCUACUAUAUGUGGACAUCAACAGCCAAACGCAUGCUAUUCAGCGUGCCUAUUUGUUGGACAAAUUUUUUUUUAGUCACGGGUGCUGCUUCCUCUCCCAUUUCCCUUCUCUCCUGCCUGUGCCGGCAGCAGUGCCGCCAUCCCGCUCCCUCCGCUCCACAACCUGCCUCGAGGAUGGCUUGCUGCUGCCGCCGCCUCGUGGCCCAUGCGGCCUCACGCCAUCCAGUUCAGGAUCUCCAUUGCUGCUGGCAUCCUCGGCCCAGGCGUUGUCCUCGUCGGCAGAGCGCUCGCGAGGCUGCAGAAUCGUCGGAAGGUUGCCCCCUGAGAACGUUCUUGAUCCGGCGAGCAUGACGGUGGGGGCCCCGGCCGGUGCGGGCGCCUGAGCAGAGACCCCCUCUUGGCCUCGGCUGCUCGACCUCAAGCUCCCCGCCUCCUGCUGUGCUCUGCCGCCAUCCCUCUCGCGGUACCUCUCCCUGGAGCGGCUGCAGAAGGAGCAACCCACGGAGGUGAUUAUAAUGUCGCAAAUGGCUAGGUUUAUCACACCAAUGGUAAACGCAGUAUCUGAAUAGAGGAGACCAAAGUAAUACGGUCUAACCAUACUACACAGACUACACCUGUUGGGAUUGGCAGAGAACUCACGCCUUGAUGACCGCCCCAACUCGACUUGCUCCAGUUCACGUUGAAGCUCUCUCUAAAGACCAACACAGUAAUAAUGAGAAAACAAAGAUAAAAGGCCAUGCAGACUUGUAUAAUAAAUAACAUAAGGACCUAUCAUACUAUGCAAGCACAGGUUCCAGGAAUCAUAGCUCAAGCAAGAAUUUGCGCAUAAUAAACACAUAUAUAUGGCAUAAACAAGAAAGUGACUCAAACUUUCAACGCUGUUUCACAGUAAAAGCCACUUGAAAGCAAAUCCAAGCUAGCACUAAGUUUCUUUUAAUGAUGGAUGUAUGGAAGAUUUAUUGCAAAACAAUAUAUUUCCCAAAACUAACAGAUUAUGUCAAUUUGAAAAAAUAAAUUGCCUUGUACCUGAGUUUGUUUCUCUUUUUCCAAAUCAAUAUUGAAUUGCAGUUCCCUAGACUUUGCACGCUCAAUAUCCAGUUGACGUUGUCUUUCUACUUCACGUUCCAUCUCGAGAGCUCUUUCCCUACAAAGACAUACAACAAAGAAAUAGGAUAAACACCCUAUUGUUUCUGACAUGUCAAAGAAAAGAGCAGCGCAUCAAAACCUGUCAAGCUCUUGCAUAAGCUCCAUUUCCCUGGAGUUUGUCUCUUCUAAGUACUUUUCACGAGCAUGUCUUAUAAGCAGCUUCUUUUGCCUGCGUGCUGUAAUUUCCUCUUUCAGCCUAGACCUUUCCCUGUCAAAUUAAAACAUACCCCAAAUGAGUAUUAAUAGUUCAAUAUGCUUCUAGAAUCCAAAGUAAAAUGUUGUGAGAAAAAGGAUAUCUUGGAUCGACAUAGCAGUCAAUACGGCAGCAAACUUGUUACGGUAGGAAUUUCAUAAAAAAAUGAACGAUAGUGAAUUUGAAGGACCGUCACAAUAUGUAACUUACAGGGACCUAAUGUUUUCCCGGAUUUGCUGGAGCCGUUUAUUAACCUCACUACCAUCAUUGUGGUCUGUAAACAAAAUUAUAAGACAUGUAAAUACAAAAAUGUAGCAUUGACAGCAAUAGCCCUGAAAGUAAUUGAGCUUACAUGAUGGCAUAGCAAGCACCAUAGUAUCAUCGGUGUGCCCAACAAAGUUAUGAACUGAUUUCUCUUUUUCAAUAAGCUCCAAUUCAAUCUCAGCUUCUUCAAGUUCCUUGGUGACAAAUUUAAUCAAGUGUUAGGACUCUGAAUAAGUUAUCCAAAACAAGAUGCCAGAGAGAAAAGGGCUGUUGCACUUCUCACCUCAUGUUCUUGUGCAGAUCUGGCUGAGAAGAACUCAAAGUAUGCUUCGAUAGAACUCAAAGAGGACAUCACCUAUCGAGAUGAGUAUGGCAAGUUUAGAUAGCCCAGUACUAACUAAAGCAUAAAAUUAGCACCAUAUGAUUUCAGCAACUUUAUUUUUUUUUCCCUUCAACAACGCAAGAGAGCUGCUUUCCAUUUCAUUAAGCAUGCCAGAUAUAAUAUCAAUUUGAACCAAGAUACAAGCAUGCCAGUGUUUCCUUAUGCUAGAAAGAACUUUCUUUGAAGAAAGAUGAACAAAAACUUCCAAACACUAGUAAUUUUGGGGGCGCACUUAGUCUAAGUGCAGUUAUUACAAAGAUUGAAACUGUCAACGAAAUAUAAAAUGAGUCUGAUACGCAGGCACAAUCAACAAUGAGAACAUAAUUCAAGUAAUGAACUGAAAUGGAUAACUGUGCAAUAAAGUCAAAACAGAAGCAACAAUACAGAUGGAGAAGACCAAAAAAAUUAAUCAUUCAGAACACUAUGACCUGAAGGAUUGAUUCACGGAUGCUCUUGAAAUCAGGGCUGACUGGUUGACUAGUACAUCCAGAAAGAACUUCUUUUACAACCUAAUGAAAGAGAUUUAAAGUCAGUACUCAGUAAACAUGUUACGGUACAUAAGCACCGGAAAGGGGGGAGGGGCAGUACAGUUGUAGCAUCUGAUUCACUUUUUAGUUGGCACAGAGCUCGGCAGAGAUCUUUCUCCAUAUAUCCAAGACCUCCUAGUACAUAAUGAGAAAAAAAAUAGCUUGAACAAUCAGAACAUCAUACAGGUCAUACAAUGGAAUUUACAUAUGUUGGCUCAGAAAUCUGAAUAUUCAAUUAUCACAGAUUUACCUGUUGAUGUUUGCAUGUUUUCCAACUUCUGCCAAACACAUUCAGGUAUCAAAGUGAUAUCUUCAGGAGUAGAAUAAAGACAUGCCUUGGAAAACAACAGCAAAGACAUUCGUGUAAAAUAGCCCUCUUCAAUUACACCAGAAAGUUGUCCCAAACCAUUCAGGAUACCAUUACUGGAUGAAAGAUAGGACUGCAGGUGCUUCCUAUCAACAAAAGGCACAUAUUCAGUAAGCAAUGCCAUUGCAUGAUUCCUUAAUAGCAUAGAAGAGUCAUGGAGAGCCAAUGCUGCUACUCUGUCCCAUGUAUGAGUUACCAAAAGGGAUGUUACUGUUGAACCCGAUAUGAGGAAAUUUUGGUCAUAGUUUGGAUAUUUCAAAUCAGCUUCAGUAGAACUUGUUUUGUUAAUAAUCCUCCCAAGCUGCUGUACAGCAACAGAACGUUGCUCUGGCUCAGAAUGAUUCAACAUUGUACAGAAAAGAUCAAUCAAACAUAUCUCACUGUUCUUGAAGCCCUCAAUUCCACCGGAAACUAAUAAUGACAACCACUUAUCUGUCUGCAGCCUCCAGGAUAUCCUAGGUGCAUGGGAACAGAAGUGCUUGACUGCAGAGCAUGUGGCAUUAAGAACAUUACCCCAAGCAAGGAUGUUUGGUAUCCCCAUUAUAUAAUCGAGCAUAGCUGAUGCCACCUGCCAGAACUGUGUUUCCUGAUUUACCAAAAUGAUAUCUCCUAGACCUUCAAGAGCACUUUGCCAAUGCUUUUGUGCAAGCUCACAGGAAAUUUUCACAGCAACAUCUUGCUCACUGCUACUAGAUAUUGUGUCUUCUUGCACUAUGGACUUCAAAAAUUUUGCAAACAACAAACACUUCGCCAUAGACAAAGAGAUCCUAGAGGCCAACUGAUGGUGCCAUUUCCAACUAUCCUCAAUAUAUAAAGUAAGGUGCGAAAUGAACUUCUCCAGGGUGCCACAAAAUUCUAUGAUACUAUUAGGAUGCAGAUUAUAAAGACCCUUAUGACUUCCAUCAUUCUCACAAUAUGCUGUGGAUUUCAUUAGUGCUUGUUCUUCACUAUCUUGUGCAUUCUUCUCUAGUAGCAUAGUGCCAUCAACUCCUAAGGAACCAGCAGGUUCUAUAGACUGGCUUGUUGCAGAAAGGAUGCUGACACCAAGUAGUUCAAUAUUUUGAAUUAGUACAGCUUCACAACCAUCUAGAAGUGUCUGGAAACCUUGAAGAUAGCUGCAUAACAAUGAUGGUGGAUCAAAACUGAUGCAAUCAAUCCAUACUAACAAGGAGCCUAACAUUUCAAUCCUUCUCUCAAAUGAGAAAUCAGGAAACAUUGAUCCCAGAAUGAAGAUAAGCAAGGGUGCCUGAAUCUUAUUUUCAGCUGUAUCCACCGAAUCUUUACCACAACGAACAAUUUCAUACAAUCUUCAACACAAAGCAACUCAAAUUGCUGCCCUCCUUUAUAUGGCCCAGUACUUUUGUAUCAUUAGUUCCCUUCCUUAAGAAGUAGGAGAUGAGUGGCUUCAUUAGACAUAGGACAGACUUGAGGAAGGCCACAUCAGUAUAAGAAGCUCUACAGAGAGACACAAGAAUGUGCACUAUCCUCGGCAUUUCAGGAAUAACGGAUUCCACGUGCUCAGUAACAAUAGACUCAAGUAGGUAGAAGACAACUGCUUUCGCAUUGGCAGCAAUAUUUCCUCUUAUAUAACUAACUCCGUUUGCGACUAUAAGAUGCUCCUUAAUGCGUUCAAGAUAAGGCCACAAGCACAACUCAGAAAACCAACAAAGAACAUCUGGUACUGCACUGUUGGGCAGACAUUUUAACUGUAGCCCAACAGCCUCCAAGAUGCUCUCCCCAAAUGCAAUAAACAAUUUUCCCAUGCUUGGAAAGAAGAAAUGUAGCUCCGGAAGUAAGAUUUUAAACUGUUUGGUCAUGCUUGGUUGGUCUGACAGAGUAGUUUCCUUCUUGAACAAGUGCGUACAAUUAAAUUGUUCACCUUUUGCAGACAUGACUUUCGGAGUUGCAACUCCAUCCAUCAAACAAAGUUCAUCCAUGUAAAUUGAUAACAAAGAUGUAAGCUGUGAGAAAUCAGAAGCAAGAAACAGCUUCUCAUUUAAAUAUUCCUUGGCAUAGCGAGACACUGCCAUCCAUCCGAGAAAUCGAGGGAGUGGGCUAGAAAACAUGGAGAAAUCAGAUAUCUUCUGUAUCCAUGUUGAUGGAGGGACUAAACUUCUAAAACGGAAACCAUCUCUUUUAUUUCUUGCAAGUUCUCUAGUGUUAUCACUGCCUGAUGAAGCCAGAACCAGUUUCUGGAGAAGGGCCCAACGUCUUCUUAGACCAUGUAUUUUUACCCUAUCCAAUUUCUUAUUCCCUGUGUUAAUAAAACUGUAAAGACAUGCAAGCUGGUCAUUGAGGCUUUCAGCAGACUUCAAAAUUAUAUCAAUUACAUUCUCUGGUGGACAAAAUAGAUCAGUUGCUGAGUGCAACAGGAACAACAAGCUCUGGAGGAGAAUUUCACUACACAAGUGUCCUUUCCUUUGGAAUUGCUUCACAAUAAAGUGGCACAGCAUAGCUUGGUUCUUUCUGACCAAAGUUAUAGAAUCAGCAAACUGAAGAGCUUCAGGUGAGAUUUCUACAGAUCGCAUGCCAUCUUCAGCAAUAUUUGGAUAUGGUUCCCCUUCAGGUAUCUUUCCCUGAUAUUCACAGUCAAAUCUGGCAGCUUGUAGGAGUAAAUCUAUGACAGAUCUAUCCCGCUUCUUCUCCAAAUUAUAGAUUGCCUUUUUAUCUAAAUCUUUGAAGUGGAAUUUUUUCAACGCAGAGGAAGCAUUCCCCUGCAUCAACUCCGAAUGAAUACGUUCAAUAUUGUCCAGAGGCUCUAAAUUAGGCUGGAAUUCCAAUAGAAAAAAUGGAUUAACGUAACAUUCUGCUGCUAAUAACAAAGCAUCAAUUCCAGCGUUAUGCCCUUCUAAUGUUGGUUCUUGUUGCAUGCAUAGGUUCAGUGCUAUGCGAUGAAAUUCUUGAGCUCUUAACUCACAGUCCUCGUAGUUUUCCAGCUGUUGAUAAUCAGCCUGUGCAUCAAAAUAAUCAGCUGCAACAAUAUUAUCUAGCAGGAAAGGGUCAGAUGAUAGUUUCUCAUUGCUUCUGCCUUCAGGGAUGUCGUGGUUCAAACUUGUUUUAGUUACUACAUCAUAGCCUUUUCCUUUCAAGGUGUAAAGACUAGUCAACUCAGAUUGGUUUAAUUCUUCAGGAGCAAACAAAAAACUGCACUGUUCAAAAUUUUCAGGCCGAACAGUUGGUUCAGAUGCAUCUCGCCCAUCAAUAUUUUCUGGAUUGCAUGGAUGUGGUGCACCAUUAUCCAAAACAGCCAAAGGCACAUUAUCAAUCUCAUGCGCUGAACUUUUGCAGAGGUCAAUGUCAGGAGGAAGAGGCAUGUGCGGAUCCAAGAUAGAGAGAAUUACACUGCAAACCAAAAGUCAGGCAUGUUACACCAGCAAGCAUGAUAGUGUUAUGCUAGAGAAAUGAUUCAUCUACUAUGCCAUCACAUGCAUGCAUUAAAGUCACAUGGUUCAGAACUUUGCAUCAUGGUCUUGAAAUGUAAACUAAAUUCGUCAUAUUAAGUGCAGUAUAUGUAUGUAGGUUGAUGCCCUCGCCUGGGUGGCCACACCAGACAGGUUGAUCUAACCCCAGGUGAUCGCAAUUGAACACCUGGUUUUGCUACCUGGCUGAGGCGUGUUUCCCAGGGCAAGAACCAAACAAGCCCAUGGUAUGUCUUUGUCCAUGUGGCCCACUUAAUUGGAUUGAUCCAUGAUGCCCAUACUCUCUUUUAUAAACCAGACAGCUAAUGGGCAUACAGUAAUAAAUAUUGUUCCCCCAUCUAAAUUUCUUAUGAUUACAUGGAUACCAAACCUAGCCAGUCUACAUUAUAAAGCAACCCAAUUCAAUGGUGCAGAUCAGAAUGACCUUUAUUAGAAAUUAGAAGCUAGGAUAGCAAAAAGAUGAUUCAGGAAAGAAAACAUCAAUUGCAUGUCAUAAGCCAUAAAGCGUAAAUCACUCAUCAAAUACUAGAGAAGACAGCUGCUAGUAGACACACAAAAGGUUCCCCAAUCCUGAGUAACAAUAACUUCACUCCUUUCAAUCAAGAACCUUUUCGUGCUUCGACUUAAGGACAUCAAGAUGAAACUUACAAUCAUUUUUUACCAAUGAUAACUAAAGAGUAUAGAAAAUUAAUAUUAUGGAAUUAUUUUUGUGGAAAAUCUAAUCCUGCCAUUUUCACCUGACUAGUUAAAACGUUUGAAAGAUACAUGUUUGUGCACAAAUUGGUACCUCAAACUUCCACUUAUAGCUCAGAUUGCCCUCCCAACAGGACAGGUGUGUGGGUGGCUUAUGAAGACAUACCUCUUGUAUGUUCAAGGAAAAAAAAUUGGCUCAAAUUUUGAAAAGGAAAGUUGGUCCUGGAAAAUGGUUUGGUUGAGGCUACUAGCUAAUUUGGUAAGAAAUAUAAGCAACUGCUUAUGUUUCCUGCCAAAUCAACCAGUGACCUAAAUUAAAUCAUGUCUGAAAGUUCAGAGGGCAAUCUGGAUCUUCUGAAAGUAAAUGGGGCCACAAUAAGCUUUGUAUGGAAGUGGCAGACAAAUUUACACAUCAGUUGGAUUGGAUAAGUAGCUCUCUGUACAGUAAGUUCCUUUUUCCCUCUUAGUAAAAUCUCUCUAAAGUGGGGGGCCUCCCCUGCUGUAUUUAAUGUUCAAAAAAAAUUAUACACAAGUCCAUGGCAACAUUACACUGUGAGCAGAGUAGUAGCUAAUGAUGGUUGGCUUGCAUAAUCAUGACAAUUGGGUUAUUGUAGUAUCAAGCUUAUGUCAAAUCUGUAAAUACAUAUUGCUUUACCAACCUUGGGGCAACGGCUCCUCGUCGCCAUUCAAGUUCUAAAGAAGGGAGAACAGCAGCUCUCUUUACUGCUUUAUGGAUAAUAUUUAAGGCAAUAUCGUAUACACUUGACUGCUUCUCCAAAUAUAUAGCAGAGAUACUACCAAAUAUUACUGUGUCUUUCAUGGCACUUGUAGAAGGAUCGAUAAAAGGAUCUAGCAUCUCCAGAAUGAAAAGUAACUUAUGCAUGACUUCCUGAAAGUAGGAAAGUUAAGGAAGCAGUACAGAAGUCACUACAAAGAACCACUUUCAGAAAGGGAAACAUGUACUUUAUAUUCUGUGAGCACAUCAUCCAUAUGCCCAGAAAUUGCCAAUACAACAUACUUCAGUGCUGCACGUGAACGAGCAAGAGAUUGGCCAGCUUCCUAACCAACAUGAUAAAGAACAAAGUUAAUUGGUUCACAAUAUAAAUAUGGAGUGGAAAUCAACUUAAAAGUUACUGAAGUACUAAACAAAUCGUUGAUGUUGAUUUAGGAUAUCACAAAGGAAGGAAUUCCAGUUUUGGUCAAGUAGUACUAUCACAAUAACAUAUAUUUUUCAAAGUUGUGAAUAGCUUAUUGUUUCAUCUCAAAUACAGGUGCAUCCCUUCAACAGCAUUAACACCACAACGGUAAAUAAAUUAGAACAUAACUUCAUUUGGUAUAGUAGCAAAAGUUCAAGACCUAAGUAUGGUAGGAUACAAAUGCACCAGGUUACAGCCAUCAAAAGUUAAUUUCAAUUUUCCAAGCAUUGCUAAGUUACCAGUGUGCACAUACCUGGAUGAUACUUAGGAGAUCCUCUAGAAGUUCAACUGCAAGAUCUACCUGUUUUGAAAGUAUAUGAAGAGUUAAGAGACUAAAGUCACAAAAAGGAAUGCUAACAGAAAAUCCUUAGUAACAAAAUUAUAAAAGAGACCUUUGCUGUUAUCAUCGGUACCCAUGGUACCAAUGGGCCCCGACACAAGUCAAGCAAAACACAAGCCGUUUUUACCUAAUAAGUCAAAAAAAGAAAGCAUGAAUAACUUUCUGAGGGAUAGUUCUUUUUUUUCAGCAGAGUGUAAGCAAACAGGUAGCAAAAGCAUAAAUAAUUUCUGGAAAAAGUGAAGAGAAAAAGAUUGCAGCAGAGAUACGAACAUGUGAUGAAAGGUAGGAUGAAAGAUAACCAGCACAAGCUCUGAGAAGAGGAUGAAAAACUGAUGACGAUACUGACAUCGUAACAAUCUGCAGCCACAAUAAUCUUCAGGAAUGGUAUAACAAAUUAUAUCAAUCAAAGCCAUUGAGGUACCUGAGAGAGAGCAUUUUGAACAUUUGAAUGAUUCCAUUGGCUAAAAGAAUCAUCAAUAUGUUCAACAGGACCAGAACUGAGUGGAGGACGAAGUGCUACAAACACACAAGAGCAACUACUCAGCAAAUGCAUGCACAUUAUCAUAAUCAUCUUUGUGGAUCAUAUAUCAGACCAAAAUAAAUCAACUGCAACAUUUUCUUUAGUCAAACUCAAAGAGCAGCCAAGACACAAGAGUCAUGACAAUUAGUUAGCCACAUAGGCCUAGGUUAUGGAAUCUAUGCAGUCCAAUUUUUUUCUUGAAUGAUGCUGGAGAGCUUCGUGUCAUUUCAUUAAGGAAGAAAAAGAUACAAAUGAGCGAGGCUAGAGCCGUCCCACCCGAGCCAAACCCACACACACCUACAUAUCAGUCCAGUUAUUUUAACUAUGAACUUAUUUUACAAGUUGGUCACAUGAAAAAUGGUAAAUUUUACAAAUUUUCUCAAAAAAUAUUUUUAUAAUGCGAUAGUUUUAUAAUAUUUUAAAAUUAUAUUGCAAAAGAAAAGGAUGAUCAAAAGUGUGCUUAGACAUCAUGUAUCUCCAUGUCCUAAAUAUAACCAUGAUUAGAGCAAGUGACAUGUGAGUGUGCAUGCAUGAAGGUACGGAUCUACCCAUAGCAAACAUUCUAAUCAUUCAAAUGGAUGUAUACUUCAAUGAAAAGUAGUAAAGAAAACAUGUAUACUGCACAGACAUUACCUGGAAGUAGGGCUUGGACAAGUGGUAAGACAGACCAAAUGUCUGAAGUAACAUCAGCAAGCUUGCGACAUAUUAUAGGCUAUAAUUACAAACCAAGAAAACAUAAGUAUCUUCAAAUAGAAUGGUACAUAUAUGGUAAAAGAUAUGAGGAUGGAACAAUAAGAUAGGUAACCUGUGAUGCAGCUGCAUAUAGUACAUGAAGAAUGCCUUCUUCCACAGCAGCAAUAUCCAAAAUAUUCACGAAUGAACCAUCAAACUGAUUUUCUGACAGGCUAAAUUCUUCUCCAAACAUACUGGAGUAGUCUGUAGAAAGUACUAGACUGAAAGCAUCGCUUUUAGGAAUUUCAUCAGAGACUUGGCUUGGUAGCAUGACACUAGUAUUCAUUGAUUUGUCUAAAAAUGGCUCAGGCUCCAAUAGUUUUUGCAAUACCUUCGAUGCCUAAGUUAAAAGAAACAAUUGGGUAGCAAAUCCUCCAUGAGGAAAGUGCAUGUAACAAAAAAUGAAAAAUAUAGUGUCAAAGAACAUACUCGAAGGCAAACAACUCCAAGGGUUUUGUCUUUAUGCGCUUUCCUUAAGAGGAGCAUAGCCGUUUCAGAUCGAAAUGCCAGCAAAUACGAAGCAGGCUGAACAGAUGAUGGACUCCGUGAUCUCCUCGGUUGUGCCUAGAAGAAAGAGUUCAGAAUACUACAUCAGGUGGACAAACUGAAAGGAGUGCCUCUAUGUUCCCCAAGAGAAUAACAGACACCUAAACAUCUAUGUUUGAUGUACUAAUUGACAAUCCCCUCAACUUCUCUAACUGGCUUAUGAGGCAGUUUUCUUUCAGGGAGCAAAGGGACAUUUUGCAUAGGACAUUUUGGCACGGUUUGGUUGGCUUGCUAAAUUUCCUCACCUCGCCUCACCCAGCAAGGUAAGCCUUGCCAGCGUGGGCAAGCCAAAUUGUCUCUCCGAAGCUAGCAAGGAAACAACAAAGCAAACAAAGAAACCAAACAUGUUGUAUGUUCCAGUUUUUUGCCUGGCGAGGUGAGGCGAGCUCAAGCAAGACAGAGAUCUAAACACAUUUUUUUUCAGGGCGCAUACUUGUAUGAUGGCCAUGUUUUUGGUAAAAUAAAAAGAAAGGAUUUGUAGUAGGUCUAGUCAGAGAGUGGAGCACGAAAGGCUGCCAUCUCUUCACUGUUCAUACUAUGAUUUUGCAGAGUAAUAAAAUCCUUAUGUGAACUGAUAGGUUGAUGGCAAUACCAUUUUGGACCCAAAAAAAGGUUUUAGGGCCAGUCAUUGAAUGCAUUAGGUUUCACACUCCAAGAAAACACCAGGAACAAAUUAUGCGCUUAACCAUUUAGUUCUCAUUUCUAAACAUUUCUGGCCAUAUUUCAAAUAGCAAACUAAGCUAGUUAUUUAGAAGUUUCAUCAGAAAGCAGAACUGGCCCAGCUGCGAAAACUAUUUACUGUUCUGAAAAAUGUGACCUUGAAUGGGAUGGUCAGAAAAAAGACAACCAUCUUCCAUGAAUGCUUGCAAGAAAUUAACAACCUGAUCAGAAGAUAGUAUUUUUGGCAUUUCAAUGCCUACCGUACAGCCCAACUAAAAUUUUUAACAUGUAACAGCUAAAGGUAACAGGAAGAUCCCCGGUAACAUCAACCUAACUUAAUCACAGUGACAGAUCUUCAGCAGCCAUUCUGUGGUAACAAAUUUGAUUUGAGCUAUUCAAGUUGCCUACCAGAAAAUAUUUUGUAUUCCAUGCUAGAACUUUUAUCAGUCACCCAUUAAUCAAGGCAAGCUCCAAUGCGGGCUGAAUUUGCAUUAUACUAUCUUUUUGAAACUAACAAAGGAGCUCAACACAUAUAAUGACAAUCAGCACUAAUGUUACCCAAAGUUCUCUCAGGAAGGGGAAAAGGACAUAAUAUAAAUGAUUGUUUUAGCCACUUCAAAUAAGCAGGAAACCAUGUAUGACUAAGACUGCAAGUGCAGAUCCAUGUGAUCAAUCUUACAGCAUACAUGGCUGCAGUGCCGUAACCUUCACCUUCCACACCUACUGUAGCAAGUCGCAAGAACGAGAGAAACAGACGCACAUAAGCCAAAAAAAAGGUUACAUGCCUCAAAGUUUGAAGAAACUGUUGGAGUAGAAGCCAGACUGGUUCUGAGGGCAUCUGAAUCAGCAGAACCAAACAAAGAUUUGGUAGGAUCUCUGUAAAUUUAGGACAUUUCAGAUACCAUCGCCCACAUACAGGCAGGCAAGUGCAAACACGUAUUCACAAUAACACAAGUGCAAUAUAUGACGGCAGGCAACAUAGCAUGUAUCAUAAAUCCAACUGAUACAUGGUUGCAAGUUAAACAAGGAAGACACACCUUUCAUUUAUAAGGUGAAGGAUAGGAUAAAAUGGACCAGCAAGUAGAGCCAAGAACCGCACGCUGCUCUCUGGGGUGUCCGCCACACUAUUAAGGUCAGCCUGAACUAAACAUACAGCAGCCUGUUAAAGGGCAGUACACAACAUGCUUCGAGAAAUGGCAAUUUAGCUAGGAGCCAGAAAGAUUGACUUCACCUCAAUCUGGGGAAGAAAUGGAGGUAGCCUGAUGGAGAUGUCUUUAAGCAACUAGAAUGAAUGGGGCAGAAAUGCAUCAGGAACUCAUGACAUGGUGAACCCCCAAAGCCAAAGGGUCAAAUAAGAAAGAAGAAACGGAGUAGUGAGAAGAGAACCUGGAGGUGCAUGUUGUGAGAAAGGGGUUGUUUGGAGGAUGUGAUUUGCGGGAGCAAGUAGCUGAGCAGUGGCUGGAGCUCAGGUUCGAGGCCAGGCACGGGGAUGCCAAAGAGCUGGAUGAAGAAGAUGGCGAUGGGGUUGCCGCGCAGGCAGGAAAUGCGGAGGUAGCGGCAAGGGGUGUGGUUGGCGGGGUAGACGAUGUCGCGCUUGGGGGCCUCGCAGCGGGGGCGCACCUUGACGAAGGCAUCGGGCUUGUAUCGCAGACCAGCAGUGAGCUCCCAUUCGAGGACGGAUUUGUUGUAGAUGCGGAUGUGGGAGAGGAGGCACGGUUCCUGCAAGCAACUGGGGAGGGAGUGACUACUCAAUUCGAAUUCGAUCCCCAACUAGAUUGGGAGAAGAGGGAGAAGAAUAAGCUGUAGAAGCAGAUGGGGACCUGGAGCUCAAGGAGGAUCCAUUCCUUGGUGUUGGUGGCGGUGGACCAGUGGGAACGCAGGUCGGCCUCAAGCAAGUUCCCCGCCUUCUGCGACGGCGACUCGCGAGAGGAUGCCUUCACCCGGAAACCUAGCGCCACCACGCCAUCCCCCCAGUCCGCUGACGUAUCCCUCUCCGGCGGAGCCGCCGCCGCUGCCUCCAUCAGCUCCGACUGGCUCCCUCCCCUGCCCGCACCGCGCUGCACUGCACUCCCUCCUCGGCUCCUCGCCUCUUGUCGAGUGAAUGAAGACUGAAGGACUAGAGCAAGACGACUCUCUGUUCGCCCAACAACUGGGGAUGGGCCAGGCUUCCCAGGUAUGGUGUUAUGGAUAUUGGGCCGAGGACCCAUUCACUUCAAAUCAAAAUAGGAAAAGGGGAAAAAUGUCCAUUUUAGCUCCCCGACUUCCUCAAACUCCAAAACUAAGGUCUUGUUUAGAUUCGAAAAAAUUUUGGAUUUCGACACCGUAGCAUUUUUAUUUUUACUUGACAAACAUUGUCUAAUCAUAGAGUAACUAGGCUUAAAAGAUUCGUUUCGUGAUUUACAGUGUGCAAUUAGUUUUUGUUUUCAUCUAUAUUUAGUGCUCCAUGCAUGUGCCGCAAGAUUCGAUGUGACGAGGAAUCUUGAAAAGAUUUUGAUUUUUGGAGUGAACUAAACAAGGCCUAAUAUCUUUCAAGUUACUUUCCUGACUUAUUUUAAAGUGGAUAGAAUGUGGUUUUGUCCUUUUUCUACAUAAAAAGGCCAGUGAAUACUUGAUAUGGUCAUUAAACCCAAAAAAAAUCACUAAACUUCUAAAACAUUAAAAAAACACAUAUUGAUAGAUUAGGAUAUUAUGUAUCCAGAUAAAGUAUUUACAUCUCAUGAGAAUAUAUCUAAAAGCUUAUAAAAUUAGAUUUAUCUCUACGAAAAUAGAAAAAAUCAAAACAUUCUAAUUGAUGUCCUAGCGUGUUUGAAAAAAAUGCAUAACAAAAAACAAAAGACACGGCUAGCACAAAUGCAUGACAUUAAUGUAUGUUGUUUUCAUGCUAGCUGUAUCUCAUAUUUUUGACAUGCAUAGUUUUUAAAGGACAUUAGGCAUUGAUUAGAAUAUUUCAAAUCUUUUCCAUUUUACUAGAGCUAAAUCUUUUUUUGGAGAUACUAGUAGAUAUGUUUUCAUGAGCUCUAAAUAUUUUAUUUUAAUUCUUCAUGUCAAAAUCUAUCCCUAGUUCUUCCUGAAAUUGAUUUAAGAAGCUUUGUUGUUUUUUAUGGGUUUAAAACUUUGUUAAGUAUUUACCAAAUGUUUUAACUAAAAAAGACAAAACCAUAUCAAACUAAGAUAAAGAGGUUAUUUGAUCAGUUUUGAGAAAUUAGGGGUGAGAUGUCUAGUUAUAGAGUUUGAGGAGAAAAAUAAGACUGAGGCAAAUUGACUAUUUAGAGGGGAAAAAAGUCAUUUCGCAUCAAAAUUUUCCUCCUUGGUCUCUAUAAUCGAUCAAAUUGUCUCCUUUAAUUACCAAAGUCAUUUAAGUUAUCUCCUUACUCUAGUUAGAAGUGGGUUUCAGGGUGGUUUUAUUUAUUUAUUUUAGUUAAAAGAUUCCAAUGUACACUUAAUAAUCCAGUUUAAGCUCCAAAUAUUUUAAUAUAGCUGAAGCUAAUUUUUGAAGCUAUCUAAAAAAAUCAUUCGUCGUGUCCUAAUAGUUUUAAUUUGAACAGUUUUAAUAGUUGAGAGAAGAGUUCUAGAGUCCUAGGGUAAAAGUAGACUACGACGAUAGAUUAGGGAGAGAAAAAAAUGACUUUUUUCCUCAAGAGUGUACAUACAUGGUGAACAUAUGCUUAGAGGUUAUUCCAGGAACAUAUGCAUACAGGAUUAUUCCUGGAACAGGAAAACAUUUCAGGAACACGGCACCAACUAACCUCAUAGUAGUAUAUACAUAUACAUAUACAUAAGUACAGAUGGGAUAUGGCUGGCACAAGCAUCACAGCAUUACAAACAAGGGAAAUAGUAUCAAUGAAGAAUGGUGUGGUCUGUCAAGUCAAGCAUGGACCAUUUAUUCAAACCUCAGCUUGGGUCUCGCCUGCCUCUAUUCCUAACUCUUCUAAUCUCUUCUUUCUUUUCCCCAACACAACCCUUUGUAAAACCUACAUAGCUCGCAUCUAAAUACGCAAUACAUGCAUGAUCGCAUAGAAAGGUCUUCAGGAAGAUGGUACGAGAAGUCGAGAAGUAUGUUUCCUACUACAUUGUGUACACUGUCAGUGAUCCAAGCAGAGCGGCUUCAUCCUGUCAGCCCAAUGCAUGCAGUAUUGCCUAUUAGGGUUAAUCCUCGAGCACCGGAACUAUUGCCGAUGACAGUUCAAUAUGUGACAUGCGAACUGCCCCAAUCAGUCUUUCUGGGAGCUCCUCGUAUGUAUUAGCCUGCCGACAAUAUUAAGGCCAACACUUCAACGGUUCAGCCAAUGUUUUAUUUUAUUUAUUUAUUUGUUUGUUUGUUUUUUUAACAAACAUGUGACUCUAAGUAAAUGAGGCUUACCUGGACAAGGAAAGCCAUGUCGACAACUAGUGUUGUUAUCACACCACACACAAGCCCCAAGACUCCAUUCGCCACUGUAGACGAGCCAAUAUCCACAUCUAUCUGCACGGUUACAUCACCAUAAUGCAACAUAAAAUAUGUGCCAACAUACUAUUUCUUAGCCAAAAGGUAGACAAACAUAAGCUUCAGAAGGUUUCUCGCAGUCUUACUUCUAAAUAAUUUGAGCCACGUAUAUAGGUAAUGUCAACAGCUUUUCCUAAUAGACAAGGAGUGCUGCCAACACUUUGGCGAACAAUCCAUGAGCCCUGAAAUUCAAAGGUGAAUUACAUCAGAUAAAAGGAAUUGAUUGAAUUCACCAGCAACUUAUAGCGAGAUUCAUCGUAUCCUUUAUUUUGCCCUUCUUCUACACUUUUCACAUGGACCUCAUAGGAUUUCAAAAGAAUGGUGGGGAUAGAGAGAACUUCACCUUAGGAACUGAUGGUAUCAACUUGAACCUACUAUUCCGAUAUUCAUCAUCACCAUCAACAAAGCGUUGCAAUAAGGAGUUUGGUAUCAGUUUCUUCGUAACAAAGUAGAAAACCAUACUAUAGUUUGUUGUGCCAGGAACCUGCAAAAGCAAUCAUACUUGCAUCAUUAUUGCUGGUUCACAAGUCACAACAACAGUGGACAAUGAUAGUAUUGUUACAAGACACAUCUAUCAAGACCAACAACUAGAAAUGAGUAGCCUUAUUAAAAAAAAAUGUCAAAAAAAACUAGAAAUGAGUAGCGUAAUGCCGUAAUUAGAGGGUCAUCCUUUCAACACUAGUGGACAGUACUGUGCACACAUGAGAUUACAAUAAAACUAUGUAUAUAAAGGAAGAUAAGGAGCAAAGAGUGAUAUGGCUUUGACAGUUUGACACAUUUUGUGUAGGAACGUCCAUGGAAAUACUUACUUGUAGAUUUAUAGCCAAUGCAAACAGUCCCUUCUCAGCCGCUACCUAGAACCGAAGCAAAAUAUUAUCAAAUGGGAAAAGAGUAACAACUUAGCAGGAACUGAGCUUCACCACAUCAAACACAUUCAUGGUUAAACACAAAAGGUUAAAAAAAAAUGCUAAGCAAGGAUUCUUAAAUAUAUACAUAGAAAAGCUAAAUGUAAUAAGAAAGAACAAAACAUGGCUCUUGGUGCAACACAUGAUGCUACACUAACUCCAUAUACAAGUACAACCCUGGCUCUCAGCAAAAUAUGAUUACUAUAUCCAAGCAUCGUUUAUGAGCCUAUCAACAAGGACUUCCACAAGCAGUGGUAAGAACAGUUAAGGCUCAAAAACAGAGGGUUUGCUUCUCAGUGUUACAAAAAUUAGAAGAGGGUGCUAUUCAUUUCCCUUCUUCCAUGCAUUACAGACUAGUUAAUGAUAUCAGGAUUCAAACAUGAACUCACUUGAACUGCACAGCCUUUUCUUCUAGCAACAUGGUCCAUUCGCUUUGCGUCUUUAAACCAGUCAACAGCAACAAGCUCCAUAAGAGGCUUUCCUGCAGGAACCUAUCAAAAAGAAUAAAUACCAUAAACAAUAGGGCCUAGAAAACAGACAAAAUGAUUCUACAUAAUGAUGAGGAAGAUCAAAACCUUGCUUUUAUCAUAUACAAAAUUCUUGCUUCGAACUCUGAAAUUGUUCCCAUCAGAUAUUCUCCAGCAGUCACGGCUGUUAUCACGGUCAUCCCGACGUAGAUUCCCAGAAAACCCAGAUAAAUCAAUCUGAUCUGAAUCAUCUUCAUUCCGCCCUAGAUAGAAUUCAUAAAGUGAACUAGACUCUUUGUACAGAUAAUCAAGGAAAAUAGAAUAUAUAUACCUGACUGCCUAAUAUCUGCAGCAUCCUCACGUGUUGAUGGCUGCAUAGAAAACAUAGUCUCGUUUAAAAAAUGACAGAAAAGAUCCACUGGAAAAACUAAAAACAACUCAUCAACCUCUGGUUCAGAUUCAGGUAUCAGAAAUUCGUCAUCUUCAUCAGACUCCUCCUCAAGAGCUGUGGAAUGUCUGCUUGGAUCCAUCUGAAUGCUGGUUUGUGUAGUACUCUCUUGUGCUUUUCUGCCUUUCUUGGAAGAAACAGAUUGAGUCAUGUUGACCAUAACAGGAAUCCUAGGAAGCACUUGACUCUCAUCACUUUGUGAAAACCAUUCCCUGAGCCCUGUCAGGGGAGAAAAAUGCACAGUGAGUAAUAGAGAACAUAUAUCAUAUUCAGUUUCCUAGUGUUGGAGGAAAAAAAUAUUCAGUUUCCCAAAUUGAGGGGCGAGGGGGACAUGCUGAAGCCUAUGUCUAAGAAAAUUGAAAUGGAGUACUCGUAGGAUGCAUGCCGAGUACAUGAUGGCAAUGAAUCUAAGGAUACACCAUUUUUUGCAGGAUUGUGCAUCACCUUAGCUGAUAUUACAUAAUACUCCCUCUAUUCCAAAUUAUAGGUCGUUUCAGCUUUUCUAGUCUAGAUACAUAGUUUUUUUACUUUUUACUAUGAACCUAGACAUAGUGUAUAGUAUCUAGGUGCAUAGCAAAAGCUAUAUACUUAGAGAAGCCAAAACAUCAAAAUGGCCUAAAAUUUGGGAGAGGGAGUAUAUGUAAUAUGCUUGAACAGUCAUGCACAAGAAAACAGCAACUGUCUCCUAAACGUGUCAUGCAUAAGGACUAUUCCUAACUGCUCUGGGACCCCCUUGAUUUAUGCUGAAGGUCAACCACUGCUAAGAUGGUAACUGACAAUAGGCUCGUAGUUGUAAUGUCCUGCUGAAAGUGAGUCUCCAUGCUGCAUGAAGGACUGGGCAAGGAAAAACAAGAAAACAUUUCUCCAAACAUCAUCUUCAACAGAAAGCAUAUAAUAGUAGACUACUUUAUUAUUUUCGUAAGGUGUCAGUAUUUAUCACAAUGGCAACCAUUUUAAACACACAGGAAAGGAACCUGUAAACUCAUCUAACAUGCAAUGAUCAGCUCUGGGCCACCUAAAAUGACCAAACAUAAAAGUGUAACGACACUGAUCAAGCCAGCAGCCUCACACAAAAAGGUCUCGUCUCAGUUGAGAAGUUACUCCAAAUCCUAACCGAGAAUAAGAUAAACCAAAUGUUUUCUCUGAGUACUAUGUACAACACGGAAAAAUAAUAAAGAUACCAUCCAAAACUUAUUCAGAAGGUUAGUUGUACCAGCAACACUGUUCAACAUAUGAAGGAGGCAAUGCUGCUGAAAUGAAGGUACAUAACCAACCCCCCAACCCUUCAAAUCUAUCUGCAUAAGAUGCUGCACUUGUGUUCGGAUUCUUCCGUUACGGGAUUUCAGGGGAGAAAUGUUGAAGCCACCACCUACAAUAAAUAAAUGCAAGUCAAAGAGAAGAAAAGUUACGAAAAGGAAGCCCUGGCUGCCAUACAUUUUCCUCGGUCAGCCCUGGUUGCUAACAUGCUAUAAAUGAACAAAAGUUGCAAAUGAUUGUGCAGUAACAAAUUCAUCAGAGCAAUUUACUUACUCUCAAUAUGUGCCCUUACAAAUCCUGGUUGUGGACCACAGUUUUGGUGCUCUCUGGAUCGAAACAACACAACUGCAAAUAAAAUUACUGAAUAUAAUCAAAUACAAGUCAUAAAAAUAAUGACUACGGCACCUGUCUGGAUGUAAAAAAAUUGGAGCACUGGAUAAAUACUACAGUUUUGCCCCCAAAAAAACAAAAAAAAUAACAACAACGGGUUUGUAUGUUUCAUGAUACCACAGUUUUCUAAAACUACUUAUCCAAUUGGGGAAAGGCUGGAGCAAGAGGUAUACAGCCAGUAGACAACUGAGGUAUAGUAAUGGUCAGGGUCAGAUUUAUCUACUGUAAUAGGUGCAUAUGUCUACCUAGUUUCUUGGUAGUAUGUGUGUGUGUUUUGUAAGGGUUAUUGUCCCUUUUUCUUCUUAAUAUAAUGACAUGCAGACGCAGACUGCGUGUUUCAGAGAGAAAAAAAGACUCGUCCAACAUGUUCAUAUAUACAUGUAUAUCGCAUGGAACAUGGCUAUGAGUAAGCCUUAGGGGUUGUUUGCAUCUCAAGUUUUACAAAAAAUAAAUUAAUUAAAACUUGUUUUAGUUUGGCAUCUGUAAAACAUUGUUUAUUUCACUCAACUAACUUGGAGAUAAGAAAAACUGGUUUCCAGUAAAUUCAAAAUUCCAUAUUUUAGCAAAUCUGACUCCAAGGCGUUUUUAUCAAAACCAGUGUAUGAUGCAAUUGUUUCACUGGCCAGGAAUCUCGCACUUCCAUUGAUUCACCUACCUAGCACUCCUUUGACAAUUACAAUCAGUUUGCAAGAUGAUUGAUUUCGCGCCAUUUUUUGGGAACCUACAAUGAAACAAGUUCCACUACUACCGAUCCAAACACACUAAUGAAUAAACAAAUAUAACAGAAUGCCUACUUAAAAUUCAUUUUUCCAAAAACUCCUCAUAAUAUCUGUUUCAUGAAAAGAAAUUUCUAAUCUUGAGAUCCAAACAACCACAAAAUACAGAGUACCAACCAUAGCUUCCAUCAUCAUUGCGCCGCCAAUAGCGCACAUAACAAAGAUCACGAGGCCAAACAAACCUGACAAAGUAUUCAUCAAAUCCAUGACAGGCUCCAUAAAAUUAAUUAAAUAACCUUGAAUUCAAGAAGAUUGUGAUAAACAUUAAUCAUGAAAUACAAGAGUCAAUAUUUAAUCCAUGUUCCUAGGAAAUAUAGUACAUCUUAGCACCAACCAAUUAAAAAGCCAACAUACACAUACAUUAAUGUAAUAUGUGGCAUCAUGUCAUUUUUUGACCAAGAAAACAAUGUGUCAUGAUUUUGCAAUGACUCUGCACUUCUAGUGGAGUACAGAUACAGAAGGUCAUGAGAGGAAUAUUUUCCAGCAAAAGGUAAAGCAUACAUUGGGAACCAAUCCAGUUGUAGCCUAUGGUAUAGUAUUGCAGUGUGGCCAUCAACCUCCUCUACCAGACUACCAUACUGAAAGCUGCAGUCCCACCUUACAAAACGAAAAAGUAAAAUGAUAUGGAUAAGUUUAAGGAAAAGAAUAAUGAACAGUUAUGGAGCAAAUUUAUUAAGGCCUUGUUUGGAUGCGCAUGUAUUCACCUCAAUCCACAUGUGUUGAAGUGGAUUGGAGUGGAAUUAAACUAAGUUCUAUUUCAAUCCACCCCAACAUAUGUGGAUUGAAGUGGAUACACAUGCAUCCAAACAAGGCCUAAACUUAGAAAGAAAGAAUUACUCAAAACGAGUAGUAUCCAUGCUCAUAACAAGCUGAAAUAUAGCCUCACAGGAGGCUUCAACCACACCAACAGCCUUCAUUGCUCUGCUACAGCUUCUUGCCUAUGAAUAGCACACAAGCAUCAAGCAACAUGAGAAUAUGGCUUAGAUUUAGACUACCUGUACAUAGCUAUACCCAUCAACAACUUACAAGGUAAUCAACAUCUUGGAGCUCCUCAAAAAUGCGGAGGCCUGAAGAAAUCAACACCACAUCAGAGGAGCAACCCAGUUACACAGCAGAGAAACAGAGUUACGAGCAAAAUAUAAGUUCUUGCCAUUCUGGCAUCUGACAAGGCGCCAGUGUCCUCUAGAGAAAACUUGGUCAGGGCUUCCCUGAUUUGAUAUUCCCAAAUCAUUUUCACGGGUCCAGUCAUAUAAAGAUUCUGGAGGGCCUGCAAAAGGCAACAGUAGAACAACUAUUUGUUAAGCGCUGAAAGAAAAUAAUUAUUUGUUUAGCUAGCUAGCUCGUGCAUCCGUGUGGAAGGGAACAGCCAAGCCAAGUUAGGUGGCAUGUUACAGACCAUUCCCGAUUGUUGUUCUCCUUAGCAAUGAUCGCUGAUUUUCCUCUUCUUCUUCCUCUUCAUGACUGUACCUGCCAUGAGAGAAUAUGGGCACAUAUCAUUUUGGUAGAAGUUCAUAAUUAUGCAUAUUAUCAUGCAACAGACAGAAACAAAAUUACAUCCAGGCGCUAGUAGAGUUUGAGAUUUGUCGAGUAUACACAAACUUGAGUUAAAAUGCAUUCAACAAGACAUUCUUCCUUCUUUCAUUGUAAACUACCGCAAAACCAAGUGCUGAGUUCAGGCACACACCUACCCAGUGUUUACUUAUUUAAGAUCAUGAAAGGUUUAAAUGUUUAGAUCACAAAGUAGCAUCUCAGAAGAAUACCAUCUGAAGAAAAAUAAUCAUCCUGUCAAUGUGACGUUUUCAGAAAUACUAGCUGUUGAGAGCCCAAAUAAGAAAGAUGGGAGAUGUAACCAAAACAUUACCAAACUGGUACAAGUAAAGCAUUAGCAGAGAAGGGUAUCAAAAAAUGCUUUAGCCACAACAUAGAAACAAAUGCAACUUGAAACAUAACCAUGGAAGUCAGCUACUUACUGACUUUCGUGGUCAGAUGAAGACGAUUUCCUUCCAUUUUCUAAGCUAGCCUUUUGCUGCGAUGUGCUAAAGGCCUUGUUGCCAUCACUCGGCGCUACCCCCUGUCGCUGCACCAUUCAAAAAGAAACAAGUGUAAACCACAGGAAAAUUUGCUAUUGCAUAGAUUCAUAAUUAGGGUGUGAAUUGCUGCCCCUAAGGUUCUUUAGUUCUAAUACUAUGAAUACUAGUUUUCCAAAAUGUGACCAAAUUUUGGAGAAGUAGUAACUAAAGAGGGGUCGGUCAAGACCAUUAGGUGGCAUCCAUUCGCAUCCAUAUUCAUAAUCACUUUCAUGUUCUACUAGUACUUUGCAAUAUGAGUAAUAGAUUAGCACAGUUUAGGGUUUCCACGUGUUGAACCUGAUCGAUGACCAUCUCAAUUUUCUCCUUCCAAAUUAGAGCUUCCUGUAUGUUGAAUGCUGCCAUCUGAUGCAUGCCACAGAAAGGGAUUAAGCUAAAUGAGUGGUAUUUAACUGAAGGCAGCAUGUAGGAUGCAAAUCAAAGACUUCUAGCAUAAUAUUACAGUUUGAAAUCCAGUAAUCUACUGUUGAAUGCACUAAACAAAGUGAAGUUGCUCCGAAUGAAUAAAUCAUGGAUUUACCGUGAUGCGGUUGUGCUUCUCCCUUUUGUUGUAGACGCAUAAGACAUAAAGCAUCUGCAGCAGGAGAAGUAAUGCCCGAAUGGAAUCAGCGUCGCAGUCGUCGCAGAAUUAUGAUAACAAAAAGGAAGAAGAACACCAGAACGAAGAAGAGAGAGAGGGAAAACAGUUGUACAUGUCCAUGGUGCAUCUUGAGCCCCCUGUCCUCGACCCUGCAGUUGCCAUCGAUGGGGAGGGACUUGAUGGGGAGCUUUCCCCCGACCUUGUCGGCCUUGUGCUGCGGCUUGCGCUUGUAGUAGGACAGCAUCCGUGGCUCGAGCACGAAGUAGCGGGUGUGGACGAAGGAGCGGCCGAUCUUGCGCCGACCGUAACGGACCAUCCACCCCUCGUACACCACCGAGGAGGACGAGGACGACGACAUCAUCCCCCUCCCUCAGAUCCCUCUCUCCUCAGUAGCAAAAACACAGCAUCAGGUGAAGAUCGACUCGAUCCAGCAAACGUAGCUACAGCAGCUGCUGCUGAGCUCCUCCCCUCUCCUGGAUUCUCCGCUCCGCUUUCUUCUCGGGAAUAGUCACCGGCGGAGCCAAGGCCCGGCCACCCUGGGCAGCUGGCCGGGCUCCCACGGUACAGCAGAGGCGGGAGGGGAGAGGGAGGUGCGUACGCAGGGUCGCCGGCCGGUCGGUAGAGGGAGGUGCGUACGCAGGGUCGCCGGCCGGUGCGCGGAGGACGGAGGCGAGGGCGCGAGGCGACUGGCGAGAGGCGGGAGGGGGAGCCGCCGACGCCGCCGCCGAGCCUGGGACUGCCCCUCCGUCGCUGGACGCCGCCGAGGGGGAGUUGCUCCGAUCCCUGGACCGA
RNAcentral lists this long non-coding RNA (48596 nucleotides) under Sorghum bicolor (sorghum). Its description in RNAcentral is "long non-coding RNA (SBIC_LNC001323)". The stretch from base 45830 to 45935 matches the Rfam family "MIR5565 microRNA precursor family". Lineage: Eukaryota; Viridiplantae; Streptophyta; Magnoliopsida; Poales; Poaceae. The record is from RNAcentral.